UGAUUGCAACAUGCACCUUUCGCUGCUAAAUAGGCAUCAAUCCUUUUACAUGUGUGUUGAGUUCCAUCACAAAUUUGCUCCGAGUUUAUACUUUAUACUACCUUGGGCAAAUAUCUCUUCUUAAGAAAUGAACUAGUGUGUGACAUGAACAAUAAUGAGGGUAAUGUUCAAUCUUAUUUAAAGCAAACUAGCACAGUAUUGCGAGGGCAUCACCUCAGUAUGUUGGAAGUGUAUGAGAAGUAAAUAUUUAUGCAAUAUUGCUAGCUUAAUAAACCAGCGGCAGAUCCACGUUUUUAGGCCAAGGUUGGGCAAUAACUAUCUUUUCGUAUGAAUUUUAGGUCAAUCAUGUAUUUUUUUUUACGUUUUGUUUUUCUCUCUGUAAUACAUAUAGACAGUUGGGAGAUCUCAGGGUGCGGUGUGACACAUUCGUCCAACCUUCCUGAGAAACUCUUUUACUAGACAUGCUUUUGGGCGGCAAAUGAUAUAUAUCGCUUGUGCCGAGCAUUAGCUAGGGCUCGCCUGCAGAACACCUAAGAAGGGCCAUGGCCCGAUAUGCCCAUGCGAUGUGCUGGUUACUUUUAGGUUCGUUGAACACUUGGCUCUCUUCUUCGUGUUUCUCCCUGAUUUUUGUUCAUGAUAUUAUCUUUUUUUGUUCAACUGGUUUCUUGUGGGUUUUUUUUUGCAUUUCAUUUUUUCUUGAUUUAUCUUAUUAUCUUUGCCUCUUUGUUUAUUCCCCUCUUUGUUGUUGUUCUUUUUCCACAUUUUUCUCUUUCUUUAUUUUCCGUGAUUUUCUUCUUACUUAUUUUACUUACUUAAUUAGAAAAUAAAUUUACACAUGACUUUUUAAACACACAAUGUACAUAUUAUAAAUAAAUGAUGAAUAUUUUUUAACACUGUGAACUUUAUUUAAUAUAUGAUGAGUACUUUCUUCAAUACACGAUAAAAAAUAAAUUGUAUUUUCAGUUUUACGUCGUAAAUGAUUAUUUUCCAAAAUUAUGUGAAUAUAUUUUGAAAUGAGAGAAUACUUUGAUAAUUACAAGGACAUUUUUUGAAAUACGUGAAUACUCUUUGUAAAUAAAAGAAAUUUAUUUUUUAAUACAAGAUUUUUUUACGAACUAGGUGAAUAUUUUUCUAAAUAGGUAAAUCCUGUUCAAAAGUAGAAGAACAUUUUAUUUAGAAUAUUCAAGCAAUUUUCAAAUGUAUUAGAUAUUUUGAAACGAGUAAGCACCUUCUUAAUACGAAAUAUUUCUGUCAAAAGUGCAAAUAAAAAUUAUUACCUAGAAUAAAAUAGACAUAUUUUUAUAAUAUAAUAAAAUAAUCAUAAGUUGAUAAAAACAACAAAGGCCAGUAAAAAAAUAUAAAGAACAAAUAAAGCAGCAAAAACGCUGCAAAAUCACAAACAAACAAAAGUGUGCCAACCAGGCUAACCCACAGUGGCCGUUGCGGGUAAAAGGUGUGCAUUCGGUGAGGGAAAACGUUUUAAAUAAGUCGGAUGAUUUCUUGUCUUUAUCAACCACGUCCGGAGCAGGGCCGGUCCUGAGAUUUUGGGGGCCCGGGCAGAUAAAAAAUUGAGGCCCAUUAAUAUAAACAGCGUAAUGAUUAAUGGUAUGCGCAUAUAUGAAAUGUAUCCAACAAACACUUGAAUACAUCUAAAAUCAAUAUUUAUAUCAAAUAAUUUAAAUACAUUACCUUAAAUUUUCUUCACUAAAAAGCUUAUGAUGAGGUUGAUGCCAAUCUCAUUCAACAUCUUCUCGAUGCAUAAUGUUGCCAAACUAGUUAACUCCAUUUUCAUGUUCAUUUUUUGCUAGAAGAAGAAGAUGCAAAUUUUUGGGAUUACAUGAUGAACCGCAAUGUUGGAAAUUAAACAAAUAAAUGAUCAAAUGGUGAAUAGUGCAGUCUAUGCAUAAUGUAUGCAAAGAUAAGUUAUUGUAAUUUAUGAGUACAUGUGUAGGGAAUAGGGAACGGUGAUAUGGGAGUACUACCUUAGAUCGACAUCCGGCGUUCGGCGAUGGCAUAUGUACAUAAUGUACUGGCAUCUGGCGGGAGGAGCUUCAUACUUGGCGGCGUGCGUCGAGCACCUAGAGACGGGAUUAUCAAAUAGCAGAAUUACUCGGCGUCUGAACUGGCGGUCUGACUCACAAUCGGUGGCCAGAGGAAUAGGGAUCUAACUCGCGAACUCACGAUCGGAAGGAGAACAUGACAAGGUCGUACAGCUGCUGAUCGGAAAUUCGGAAGGAAACUGCCGAUCGUGAAAUAUCUUGCGACACGCCAUCAUGGACCAGAUAAGAACUCACGAUGGGAAGGUAAAAGUUGACGCCGUAAAACUAGCGAACGGAAGGACGAUUGUGUGCCUACCCUUUUUGCAAGAAAGGUCUGCGUGCGUUCCGUUGUUUUUGAGGGGAGUAUAUGCGUGCGUAGCUACAGAAUUGGCAGCAAUCUGCGUCUCUGGCCAUGGCCCGUGGGCUACGUGCAUACCGGGCGGGGGCCCUGGAUUUCGGCGACUCUGCAUCGCCGUGAGGCUUUUUCCAGGCUACCUACCGCGUCCGAGCUACCUCCCCUCUCCUUGCGCCCGCGCUUGGGCUGACCAAGGGGUCGGCCAGUCCUUCCACCCGGCCUCGGUGCGCUGCGCGGAGUUAGGGUUUCAGGUACUCUCUGAUGGCGGCGGCAGCGCCAUCUAGUGGUGAAGGCAACUCCAGAGCAGGAAGAAGGAACGGCAAGAACACAGUCGAUCUGGAAUUUGCGAUGAGGAAUAUGAAGUUGAAGGAAUCUGAGAUGGAUGAUGUGAUCGUUGGCGAGGAGGAGAUCGCUCAGCUGUCCAAGUCCGCACGUUGGCUUGCUGUGGCACGAGUAAACACGAAGAAGUACUUCAGUACUGAUUCGUUCAAGACAACGAUGAAGUUCGCUUUGUUAGAAGAUAUUGUAUAGAGAUAGGAAGAGCUUUUUUACUGUACCCUAUACUGCUCGGGGCGAGGUGGGCCAGUAUAACUAAAUCUUACCAUUAAUUUCGUGUGGGCAAUAUGGACAAUUUUUCAGUAGGUGAAGGCCUAAACGCGAAUGUUGUUGGGGCAAGAUGCCAGCCUAUUUCGGAGUAAUAGCUGGGACUUGACAUAGCUUCCUCGCUCGGUCGCUCCCAUGGCCGCCAUGCUCUAGCUGACCUUGCUGCCGCCUGCCGUGUACUGCGACCCGACGCGCUAGUCUACCUUGGGGUCAUGUCGCUAUUUCUCGGUGGUAGCAAGACAUGGUGGCCACAGCUCCGUCAGCACCCUCCUCUGUCCUGCCCGGACGGCAUGGCCAGACCACGAACUUCUGUACACGGCAUGCUUCUGCAUCAACGGACAACGACACAAAUUGGUUUGGUUGCCACCGUUGUGAACCAGGACAAAACGAGCCCGGUCUGGGGUAUGCUCGGACAUGGGAGGGGCGCAGGCCAACGCCCAAUGGCCUAUUGGAGAAGAAGAGCACGGUCCGGGCCGAGGCCUACGCCAAGCUGUCGAGUGCUGGAUCCACGCACGGGGAAAGAACAUGAUUCAGGCUUGUCGAGGGAGGGAAGAAAGGAUGGAGAAGAGGACGAUGCACUGCGAUGGCCGCCGGAACUCAAACAGCAUAGGUGGACGAGAACAACGGGCGGGGUGGGUUGGGGACUUGGGGGCCGGCUGAAUUGAAGAAGUCCAAAAAUGUCCUCAGAACAUAUAUACUGUUGGUCGAGAAGGACCGGUGCUACCUACACUGAUCGCCAUGUUGUUGGUCUGCUCGCAGUGGUACAGAUCGGUCAUGGACGAUGUUGGAUUUCACGGAUUAACGGUCCAUAUUCACUACAGGGUACCAUAAAAGAGCUCGAUAGGAAAUAUGUUUAACUUGUAGUAUCUCUUUUUAUCUCUUUUUCUGUUCUAUCUCUUCAAACCUCCUGUAACAAACACGAUCGGUCUCCUCUCGAUCUGUUCUUGUAAGCCACGACAUACAGCAUAUAUAUACAACCACGGCCCGAGCAAAGGGUCAACGCUUCCAUCUACUUUUACAUGGUAACAGAGCAUCUUCCUCGAUAGAUUGGAUAGAGAUCGCAUCUAGCUACCUAGGCAACCGCAGCUAUGUCCACCACCUCCGCCGCCAUGACGCCGAGCACCAUGGGUGCCCUCACCACCGACUCCUCCUCCUCCACUUUUGCAUCAUCAUCCACCUCCAUCUCCACCAACUCCUUCCUUGGAUCGCCGCUGCAAGAGAAGCUGACGAGAGGCAACUUCCUUCUCUGGAAGGCCGUCGUCCUACCCCAGAUCAAGGGCGCGCAGAUGGAGCACCAUCUUGACGGGAAGAGUCCGGCGCCGCCGCCCACCCUCACCAUUACGAAGGACGGCAAAGAAGAACAGGUGGUGAACUUUGCAAGAUCCCUCUAGUACACACAACAGCAACAACUCCAAGGUUACUUGAUGGGCUCUCUCUCCCGCGACAUCCUUGCACGGGUGGCCACGCUCCAGACGCCGGCGGAAGUCUGGCACGCCAUCCACGACAUGUUUGCCGUCCAGAGUCAAGCCUAAGCAAUCGAUACUCGCAUCGAGCUUACGCACCUUCAAAAAGGUAACAUGACUAUGGCAGAAUAUCUUGACAAGAUUAAGAGCCUCGCCGAUGAAGUUGCAUGCACUGCCGCUGCGCUCUCUGAUCUGGAGAUCGUGUCCAAGAUCUUGGCCAGACUGGACAUGGAUUAUCAUCCAGUUGUCUCGGCCCUUACCGCUUGGGUGGAGCCGAUCACUGUCCAGGAGCUGCAUAGUCAGCUCCUGAGCUUCGACGUCCACCUUAGUCUUCUUGAUGGCGCCGCUUUUCGCCAAUCCUCCGCCAACGCCGUCUCGCAUGGACGCAACCGUGGGCACGGUCACCACGCGCAACGCGGCGGCGGGCGUGGGCGCGGCAACUCCCAGGGCGACAACGGCUACAACAACAACUACGGCAACACAGGAGGCGGCAGCUACAACAACUCCGGCAACAGAACUAGGGGUGGUGGCUUCAACAACAACACUAGCCGCCGCCCGUCCUCCUCCUCCUCCCGUGGUCGUCCUUGCCGCCAACUCUGCAAGAAGGUCGGCCAUGUGGUUAUGGACUGCUGGCACCGCUAUGAUGAAGACUACGUUCCAGAUUCUCGCCAUGUUGCUGCAGCCAUGCGUGAGCAAGGAGGAGAUGGAGUGUGGUAUGCUGAUUCUGGUGCCACGGAUCAUGUCACAAGUGAGCUAGAGCAGCUUGCUCCCAUGAAAAAUACCACGGCAAUGAUCAGAUUCACACCGCAAGCGGUGGAGGUAUGGAUAUUCGACACAUUGGUCAAUCUUUUAUUAAUUCCCCUAUGCUUAAACGUGAUCUAGUCCUAAAAGAUGUCCUUCAUGUUCCUCAAGUCGACAAAAACCUUGCCUCUAUGUCUCGUUUAGCCACUGAUAAUAAUGUCUUCUUUGAAACUCACCCUCGUUGCUUUUUUAUAAAGGAUCGGGCAACGAGGGAACUUCUACACCACGGUAGAUGCAUUGGAGGCCUCUACCCCAUCACAUCCGGAGCACUUAGUAGCAAGCAUCGUCAGGUCUACUCCGUCAUCAAGCCCUCUUUGGCAAGGUGGCAUCAAUGUUUAGGACAUCCUCUUUGGUCAUAGUUAAGCAAGUAGUCAAUAAAGGCAAUCUUUCUUUGUCACAAAGUCCUAUUAGUGAUUCGGUUUGUGAAGCUUGUCAAUGUGCCAAGAGUCACCAACUUCCCUAUCCUAAGUCUAGUAGUGUUUCUCACGCUCCUUUAGAGCUUAUUUUCAGUGAUGUAUGGGGACAUGUCAGAGAUUCUUUUGGAAGAAAAAAAUAUUAUGUCAGUUUUAUCGAUGAUUAUAGCAAGUUUACUUGGAUUUAUUUACUCAAGUAUAAAUCUGAAGUCUUUUCUAUAUUCCAAGAGUUACAAAAACUUGUUGAAAGGCACUUCGACAGAAAAAUCUUGACAGUCCAAAGUGACUGGGGAGGGGAGUAUGAGAAGCUCAACUCCUUCUUUCGUAGCAUAGGCAUUGCACACCAUGUGUCUUGUCCCCAUGCUCAUCAACAGAAUGGCUCUGUCGAGCGUAAACAUCGCCAAUUGUUGAAGUUGGCCUGUCUUUACUUGCUCAUGCCUCCAUGCCUCUUAAAUAUUGGGACGAAGCCUUCAUCACUGCCACAUACCUUAUUAAUCGUUUGACCAGCAGAGUCAUUGGCAAUUCUACUCCUUUGGAACGUCUUUAUCAUCAAAAACCAGAUUACAACUCUCUCAAAACUUUUGGGUGUGCAUCCUAUCCCAAUCUUCGUCCAUACAAUCAUCAUAAGCUUGAGUUUCGUUCUACUCAAUGUGUUUUUCUUGGCUAUAGUAAUCUUCACAAAGGCUACAAGUGCCUAGAAAUUGCUGUUAGACGUAUUUAUAUUUCCAGAGAUGUUGUUUUUGAUGAAAAUCUUUUUCCGUUUGCCAAGCUUCAUCCAAAUGCAGGCUCUCUUCUCCGUGCUGAAAUAGCCCUUCUUCCUGGUCACGGGGGUGAAUUAACUAAAGCUGACCAUGUGAAAAAUUCCACAGAAACUUGUAUUUCUGCAUAUUCUGGCCGUCAUUUUAUGUGUGCAGGUCCGGACGAAAUAGGCGCAGGAUCCAACACUGAUUCGGCUAGCAGCGGCGCUGGAUCCCAUGUUGAUCCCUGCGUCAGAGCCACUGUCCCUGAUGGCGUGCGAUCCUAGGAGGAUUGCUCACCCCUGCAGGCAUCUCCUCACGCGCGAGCCGACCGGGUGGACCCCACCUGUCCCGAUGCGCGGUUGACUGAGGCCACAAGCCCAGGCGAGGGCGCAAGUGCGCGCGUGGCCGAUAGCCCCCACCGGGUGGAGCCCACCAGCUCAGGCGCGGGCGGGACCUUAUCACCACGCGCCACUUGUUCGCGGGAUGACGAGGCGCGGGACGACGCGGCGACUGAUGCGGCUAGCGACAGGGAGCCACCUGCGCCGGCAGGAUCAGUAGCAGGUGCAUAAUCGCCUUUGGAGCCGGUGCCUGGAUCUUCUGUGGAACUCUGCGUCUCCGAGUGCUUCUGGAUCUUUUGUGCCCACAUCAGCAGCUCUUUCUCAGGCUCCUCAUCGACACACCCGAUCACAGUCAUGUAUCAUCAAAAGUGUUACGACAUAUCUCUCUCAAGGUAGUUUUGGUGAUUGAUGACAACAUGUUUGCGGACUAAUCUUGUGCUUUGAAUAAUUCACAGAUUCUCCCCUGGCACCAGACGUUUUCUUCCCCUCGGAGUGUAUUUCAAGACGGUGUAGCUCUUUCGUUUCUUUCUCGGUGGACUAGUUGCGUAGAGGGCACCGUACUAUCAAGAGGGGGUCCGCUGGGGUAUUGCAUGGGUGGAAUCAACACGUACACAUCAGCUUCUCACCCUUCGAGCUUUUCCAUUCCAUUGUAGAGAUCUCUACUCUCUUCCUUGUCCUGUCUGGGUCCAAGCGGUAGUACCGCGCAACCCAGCGGUAGUACCGCUGAGGAGCCACAAGAGGCAGUACCGCUCCACAGCGGUAGUACCGCCCGUGGCUCCACAGUAGUAGUACCGCUGGGGUGGCUGGCACCUCCGCCUCAUCCUUAGCCUCUUUGGAGAGAUUCUCUCUCUCUCUCUUCUGUGCCCCAGCGGUAGUACCGCACUACCAGCUGUAGUACGAUCGAAGGGUCACAAGCAGCAGUACCGCUCCAUGGCGGUAGUACCGCCCAUGACCCCACUAUCGUAGUAUCGCUGGGCUGUGUGGCUCCUACCGCCUCGACUCGAGGGGUCUUUUUCUCGUGUCAGAUUUUGCGGCACUAGUUGCGGUUGUAGAGGCGGUAGUACCGUUCCAGGAGCGGUAGUACUGCCCCUACCACCGCGGUAGUAUCGCGUUGGGUCUUAUUCCCUACUAGUCUCCUCUGCGCGGUAGUGCCGCUGGCUGGCGCGGCAGUACCGCUGACCUAGCGGUAGUACCGCCCUGUGCGGGGCUGGUUGGUGAGGGGCAACGGUUGGAUUGUUGCCCCCACUAUAAAAGGGAGUCCCCUUCUUCUCUUUGACCUACCUCUUCCUCCCCCAAGCUCCAUUUAUUUCUCAAGCUCCAUUAAAUGCUCCAAGCUCCAUUUUCGCCCGAUCUAUCUCUCUAGCCAAUCAAACUUGUUGAUUUGCUCGGGAGUGGUUGAGAAGGCCCCGAUCUACACUUCCACCAAGGGAUUUUCGAUUCCCCCACUCAUCCCUAGCGGAUCUUGUUACUCUUGGGUGUUUGAGCACCCUAGACGGUUGAGGUCACCACGGAGCCAUAGUCCAUUGUGGUGAAGCUUCGUGGUUUUGUUGGGAGCCUCCGAUUAAGUUGUGGAGAUUGCCCCAACCUUGUUUGUAAAGGUUCGGUCGCCGCCUUCAAGGGCACCAAUAGUGGAAUCAUGGCAUCUCGCAUUGUGUGAGGGCGUGAGGAGAAUACGGUGGCCCUAGUGGCUUCUUAGGGAGCAUCGUGCCUCCACACCGCUUCAACGGAGACGUACUUCCCUUCAAAGGGAAGGAACUUCGGUAACACAUCCUCGUCUUCAUCGGAUCCACUCUUGGUUAUCUCUUACCUUUACUUGUGCAAGCUCUUUAGUGUUACCUCUCUUGCUUGCUUGUUUGCUUGUUGGUAUUGCAUCAUAUAGGUUGCUCACCUAGUUGCACAUCUAGACAACCUACUUUGAUGCAAAGUUUAAUUUGAUAAAGAAAAGUUAAAAAUUGGUAGUUGCCUAUUCAUCCCCCUCUAGUCAACCAUAUCGAUCCUUUCAAUUGGUAUCAGAGCCUCGUCUCUUUAUUAAGGACUUUACCGUCCAAAGAGUAUGGUUGAUACCGUAGACGGUGUGGAGGAACACUCUGGUGUGAAUCCGAUCUCGUCCACGGGCGAUGGGGGAACCUCGGUCUCUCGUGAGGAAUUCAAUGUGGCCUUAGAGACAUUGAAGACCUCCAUGACGACCGAGGUUGAAAGCAUGUUUACUAAAUUUCUUGAGGGGCUUAAACUUUCCACCGCACCGUUGAAAGUGGGUGAUCCCACCAACAAGGUGACGGAUGUUAUCCCCGACAAGGGGGAAGCUAGUAGUGAAAAGGCUCCAUCCUCUAGUGGUAAAAAUGGCACCAACAUCUUUGCUCAUGUGGAACCACCACUUGUUUAUGGUGGACCGGUUCCUUCUACUCAUUUGAAUCAUGCCAGUCCUCCCCCUAAGAUUGUAAAAAAUGAGGACUUUGAUUCUUGGGUUUACCACUUUAAACGUCAUUUAAAUCAUGUGAACACUAACCUUUGGAGAAUCAUUGAAGAAGGUUUUUAUCCGCAUGAUCCAAGCAACUUCACUCCUCGAGAAGCCGCGGAUAAUCAAUUCAAUGAGAAUGCUCUCUUCAUCAUUCAAGAUGCAAUUCCACCCGAAGACCUACCUCACCAUCGUCCCUUCGCCUUGGCCAAAGAUGCAUGGCAUUGUGUUGUCUCUCUCUACCGGGGAAGCGCAAGCAUUUAACGCUCCAACUAUGAAGUGGUGCAAGAUGAGGCCGAUGAGUUUUCUAUGAAAGAAGAUGAAGAACCUCGUUAGCUUUAUCGGAGAGUAACCAAACUCGCGGUCUCACUACGAGAUCACGGGAGCAAGGACACGGAUGACAAUUGGAUCAAGCGCAAAUUCCUCAAGGCAAUGAUGCCCUACCACAAGGCCAUGUCCUCCAUCAUUCGUCAAAGACCGGACUUCCACACUUUGACCUCAAGCGAAGUGUUGGAUGAGUUUGUGGCCAUGAACAUUUUGGACAAGACCGCCGACAAUGCGGUGCUCCAUUCUCAACGGGCAAAGAAGCCUAACCUUGCAUUGAAGGCCAAGCUCGCCAUUAAAGAAGAAGAAGAGGAAGAAGAGGAGAGCAACCCCGAAGAUACGAAGUAUGCAUAUCAUGAACACAUGGCACUUGCUUCAAGGCAAUUUUGGAGCAAGAAAAACUCGAGGCCAAACUUUAGCAAAAACAACUCGAGUGGCACGAGGGGCAAGCAACGUGUAAGGACUUGCUACAAUUGCGGCAACGUGAGUCAUUUUGUUGCGGAAUGCCCAUAUGAGAAGAGGAAAGAAAAUGGUGGCAAGCUCAUCCGAAAGGACAAGGCCAAGUCGUUCCCCAACAAGAACAACUUCACCAAGAAGACUCCUCCCAAGGCAUUGGUUGUACAAGAAGAUCAAUGAGGAUGAUGACGAUGAUGAAGAUGAUGAGUCGGUUGCCAUGGCCUCCGUUGCCAUUGCGACGACUUCACGGGUGUCUCUCUUCGACUCACCCAAUGAGAGCAUCACCGCCAAGUGCCUCAUGUCUAAAGCCACCAACAAGGUAACCCCCAAUAUCAAAACUACCUUCAUUAAUCAUCUUUCUCCGACGGAUAGCAUUAAUGAACUUGAGGGAGCUAAUGUGGAGGCUAACGAGUUUGAGGCCUUUAUGGGAAAACUCAAGGGAAAAUCCAAGAAGCACUUUUUUGCUCUCUUGGAACAACUUGGUGAAGCCAAUGACAUGAUCGAGGCUCACGAAGACACCAUCACUAAGAUGGAAGGGCAUAGUCGUGACUAUGCCGAUGAGAUUUCAGAUCUUUCCAAUGCUCUUGAGGAAGAGCGUGGUCUUUGUUUGGCUCUUGAGGAGUCACACAAUGUUGAUCAUGCUAAGUUAAAGAAAGAUUAUGAUCAUGUCCUCAUAGUUUCUCAUGUGCUAAACUCCGAGAAGGCCGAACUUGAGGUUGAUCUUGCUAGACUCAAAGAGGAGUUUGAUCUACUUGACAAGGCUCACAAGGUCUUGAAGGGUGCUCAUGCUAGCCUCAAAGAGUCUCAUGAUCAACUUCAAGUAAAGCUAACCAAGGAAAAAGCCACUUUCCCUCGUAUGAUGUUAAUUGAUAAUGCAAAUGCUACUAACCCGUGUUGUGAGCAUCUGCAUCUCGUUGAGGAGAACGCUAAGCUAAAGGGGCAACUUGAGAGAGGUCUUGCGACUUGCAUACAAGGCAAGAAGAACCUCAACGAUCUCUUGAUCAACCAAAAGGGAGUUGUGGCCAAGGAAGGGGUUGGGUACGUGCCCGACUCCAAGAACAAGAAGAAGAAUGACAAGACCAAACGACCUCCUCCUCUCAUGCAAACCUUUGUGAAGGAGGGAGAGAGUGCCUCCGAGGAUAAGAAGAACAACAAUGUCAAGAAGGGCAAUGUCACCCCUCCCAACAAAGCCGGCGAUUUUAAUCCUUCUUAUGUGUUAUGCCGUGCUAGUGAUGGGCAUGUUUAUGCCAAAUUUGUUGGUUCUCCUCAUGAAUACAUUGAGUGGUCUAUUUGGGUUCCAAAAACCCUUGUUACUAACAUCAAAGGACCCAUUACAAAAUGGGUACCUAAAACCAAGCAUUGAUCUCUUGUAGGUGUUUGCUUCCGGUGGGGGAUCAUGGUUGCUCGAUAGCGGAGCUACAAAUCAUAUGACCGGAAGCAAGGACUUGGUGGUGGACGUGCACAAGGUUCCAUCUAUGCCCACCAAUGUCGAGUGGGGUGACGCCUCAUCUUCUAAGGUAUUGGGACUUGGCAAGGUGGUCAUCUCUCAUGAUCUCACGAUCGAGAAGGUCAUGCUUGUUGAGUCCCUUGCAUACAAUUUACUUUCCGUUCGUCAACUUGCAAUCAUGGGCUUUGCCACUUUCUUUGAUAUCGAUACCGUGGCCCUCUUGUGGAUCAAGACUCUUAAAGUAGCUUUUGUUGGGCAUGUCGAGAACGGACUAUAUGUGAUUAACUUUUCGGAGUGACCCACUAAGACCGCGACAUGCCUAAUGGCUAAAGUUGAUGUGGGAUGGCUUUGGCAUCGCCGUUUAGCCCAUGUCAAUAUGAGAUCUUUGCAAAGUCUCCUCAAGGGGGACCAUGUCCAUGGACUAACGAAUGUUAGUUUUGCUAAAGAUCGUGCUUGCAGUGCCUGUAUCGAAGGAAAGCUACAUGAGAAGGCUCACCCUCCCACGACUAUCAUUUAUUCAAAGAGGCCUUUGGAGCUCCUUCACAUGGAUCUCUUUGGGCCUCCAUCCUUCGAUAGUCUUGGAGGUAGGAAGUAUUGCUUGGUGAUUGUGGAUGACUACUCAAGGUACACGUGGAUGUAUUUCUUCAAGAGGAAGAGCGAGACCCAACAAACCGUCAUUGACUUUGCAAAUGAAGCACAACGUCAACACAAUGCAAAGAUCUUGACAAUAAGAAGUGACAACGGCACCGAGUUCAAGAACAACACCUUGGAUGAGUUUCUUAGUGAUGAGGGAAUCAAGCAUCAAUAUUCCACACCCUACACCCCUCAACAAAACGGUGUUGCAGAGAGGAAGAACCGGACGUUGAUGGAUGCGGCAAGGACCAUGAUGGCGGAGUUCAAGUCUCCGUACAACUUUUGGGCCGAAGCCAUCAACACCGCGUGUCAUGCAUCCAAUCGGCUCUACCUCCGCAAGGUCUUGAACAAGACUCCAUACGAGAUACUCACCGGUAACAAGCCCAACCUCAAGUACUUCUGGGUAUUCGGGUGUAAGUGUUUCAUUCUCAAGAAAGGUGCUCGGUUGUCUAAAUUUGAGGCUAGAGCUUAUGAGGGCAUAUUUGUUGGCUAUGCUACAAACUCUCGUGCUUACCAUGUCCUCAAUAAAUCCACGGGACUUAUUGAGGAGACGUGUAACAUGGAGUUUGAUGAAAAUAACGGCUCCCAAUUGGAGAAAAGUGGCACUUGUGAUGUAGGUGAUGAAAUUCCUCCCCAAGCCAUAAGAAGAAUGGGUGUUGGCUUUAUCCUACCCAUUGAGGAACCCCUUUUGGCCGAAGGAGAAGGACAAAGCUCCACUCAAGUGGAGCCAUCACCAACCCAAGGCCCACACGCUUCCGAAGUUCAACAUGAAGGCCCUCAUCUUCAAGAACAUGACCAAGGGCAAGAUCACGCUCAAGACGGUGUUGACACAUCAAGUGAUGCCCAAGGUCAAGCUCUCUCCUCCGAGCAAGUUCAAGAACAAGAACAAGCCCAAUACGACGCUCAAGAUGAUCAAGUGACCACUCCUCAUCUCACCCCCGAGGAGGAAUUAGAGCGUCGUGCCGCCAAGGUUGCUUCCAAGCUCUCCACCAAGGAUCAUCUCAUGACGAAUGUGCUUGGAAGCUUAAGAAAGGGGGUAAGCACUCGUAGACAAUUAGAAAAUUAUUGUGAGCAUCACGCGUUUGUCUCUUGUGUGGAACCCCACAAGGUCUAUGAAGCGCUAGAAGAUCCGGAUUGGCUCAAUGCCAUGUAUGAAGAACUCAACAACUUCGAGCGCAACAAAGUGUGGAUAUUGGUGCCAAGACCAACUGGGAAUCACAAUGUCAUAGGAACCAAGUGGAUAUUUAAGAACAAGAAAGAUGCCCAUGGGAUUAUCAUUCGCAACAAGACUCGUUUGGUAGCACAAGGCUACUCCCAAGUCGAGGGUAUCGACUACGGUGAAACCUUUGCUCCCGUUGCUCAUCUUGAAUCCAUUCGCAUGUUGAUUGCAUAUGCUUCUCAUCAUAACUUUAAUUUACAACAAAUGAUUGUGAAGAGUGCUUUUCUUAAUGGUCCUAUUAAUGAAUUGGUUUACGUCAAGCAACCCCCCGGGUUUGAGGAUCCCUACUUUCCCGAUCAUGUGUAUCAACUCGAUAAGGCACUCUAUGGCCUUAAACAAGCCCCACGUGCGUGGUAUGACCACCUUACCGAGUUGUUACAAGACCGUGGUUUUAAAGUUGGGCUAAUCGACCCCACUCUUUUUACUAAGAAGGUCAAAGGGGAGUUGUUUGUGUGCCAAUUAUAUGUUGAUGAUAUUAUCUUUGGUUCUCCUAACAAAGCUUUCAAUGAGGAAUUUGCCGCUCUCAUGACCUCAAAGUUCGAGAUGUCCUCCAUGGGAGAGUUGAAGUUCUUUCUAGGGUUCGAAGAAAAGCAAAGAAGAGAAGGAACCUUCAUCAAUCAAUCCAAAUACACUCAAGACAUGCUCAAGAGAUUCAAGCUAAGUGAUGUCAAGCCGGCUUCCACUCCAAUGCCCACCAAGUGCCAACUUGACUUAGAUCCCAAUGGUAAAGUGGUGGAUCAAAAGGUAUAUCGUUCCAUGAUUGGAUCCUUGCUUUACCUUUGUGCAUCUAGACCGGACAUCAUGUUGAGUGUGGGAAUUUGUGCACGGUUUCAAGCCGCACCUAAGGAAAGUCACUAUGUGGCGGUCAAACGAAUCUUUCGAUAUUUGGCUCAUACCACAAACUUUGGCUUAUGGUACCCAAGAGGAUAAAACUUCAAACUUGUAGGGUACUCGGAUUCCGAUUGGGCAGGAGACAAAGUGGAUACGAAGUCCACUUCCGGAGGGUGCCAAUUCCUUGGUUGCUCUUUGGUAAGUUGGUCUUCCAAAAAGCAAAGUUGCGUGUCUCUCUCGUCCACUGAGGUGGAGUAUGUUGCCGCCGGUAGUUGUUGUGCACAACUCCUAUGGAUGAGGCAAACUUUAAAGGAUUACGGUGUCACUUGUGACAAAGUGCCUCUUUGGUGUGACAAUGAAAGUGCCAUCAAGAUCUCUCUCAACCCGGUGCAACACUUCAAGAUGAAGCAUAUUGAGAUUCGGUAUCACUUCAUCCGGGAUCACAUUAGGCGAGGAGAGAUCAAGCUCAACUAUGUCAACACUCAUGACAACCUUACAGAUAUUUUCACGAAGCCCUUGGAUGAAGCAAGAUUUCGCGAGUUAAGGCAUGAGCUAAAUAUCAUUGAUUCGAGCAAUGUGGCUUGAACCCUUGCACACCCCACCACGCUCAAUUUGUUGUCUAGUUUAGGUGUAGGCAUGGACAUAGGGGGAGUGUUGUUCUCUCAAUGAACUCUCCCUCCCCCCAUUAUGCAUAAAUUGAUCAAGUCUUUCACUCUAGCCAUUGUUGAUGGUACUUGUGUUUCAAAGACGAGUUUUGGUCAUGGGCCCAAGGUUAAAAUCUUCGCGGCGCCAUACCUCUUGACUCAAACAUAGGUGGCCUCGGCCACCGCCCUCUUUUGAAGAGGUGUGUCUUGGUCGUUUGCUCGUGUGCUCUCUUUUCUUGCCGUUUGUGUCUUUCCUUCGAGCAAAAGCCUUGUUUGUUUGGUUGCCGUGGCAUGCUGGGCGGUACUACCGCUGGUGGUGCGCGGUACUACCGCUCAUAAGCGGUACUACCGCCCCCCAGCAUGGUACUACCGCUGAGGGACGGGACCAGGGGGUUAUAUCGGGGCAGGGGGAGGUUUCUUCUCCCCCAUACCCAUUCGCCCCCUCUUUCUUCUUCCUCUCUACAGCCUCCACUCGCCGCGGGAGGGCUCCGGUGGAUCCCCGUCUCCGGGGCGUCCCUCUCCAUUUCCUUUGGUGGAGUCGAUCCCCACCCCGUUCUCUUGCCAUGGAUGCCGGUAUUGCCCCCAUUCCUUCUUUCCUUUUGUCUCAUUUUCAGAUCUUGUUUCUUAGGGGCAAUGGUGGUUGCAUCUCUAGAUUUUUGGCUAAAUCUAGGCUUGAGUUGGUUGGAGAAGGCAACUAGACUAUCUCGAUUAGAGUUUGGUAGGAAUAUUUUUGAAUUUGGCAGGCCGGUAGUGCUGGAUCUGACCAUGGUAGUAGGAAACCGCUGUUUCUCUGCCUCGUGCUGUAGGAAACUGCUGUUUCUCCGCCUCGAGCAGUACUACCGCUUUCGUUGGAGCGGUACUACCGCUUGGGCUCGAGCAGUACUACCGCUCUCGUUGGAGCGGUACUACCGCUUGACCUCGAGCGGUAAUACCGCUCUCUUUGGGGUGGUACUACCGCGGGCAUGUCACGGUACUACCGCUGCAUGCCAAAUUCCAUCAAAUUCCUACCUUACCUUGAUUAUUUUUGUUGUGUUUAUUGGCUUAUGCUCGUUCUUUCUAGUUGUUUUGCGUGUUCUUGUGUUUGGCUCCAGGUGAUGACCCUUCUGAGCAUCAAGCUCGCCGUAUCAACCCCGGGCGUGCAACAUCAAAACGCUACCGCACCUCUGAGCUAGCCGGUGGUUCCUCGAGCACCCAACCACCUCCAGGAAGCGCUUCUGCAAGUGUUCCUCCACCUCCUCAGCAAACGAAGAGAUUCGCCAACAAGCCAAAAGGGAAGACUGUGACUGAGAUGACCAACAAGGAGUUUUGGGAGAAGCGUCGCCGCAACCCCUAUGCGGUGGACCAAGAACCCACUUUGGUCAACCGCCCGUUCUGGAACCGUUUUCAGUUUGCCAUCUACUUUGAUGUGAUCAAGGCCAAGAAGAAUCUCUUUGUUGAUGUUCGCUCCAUUGACACUGAUGCUAUGGAGAAGGACCCGGAGUACUUUGGCGAAGCCCUUCAGAUGUGCACUCAGCUGAACAUUCUCAGGAUCAUGCAAUUCAACAAGGAUUUUGAUGCGGAUUUGGUGGCUCAAUUCUAUGCCACCGUCCAUCUUGGGACGGAUAUUGACAGGACUCUGACAUGGAUGACCAAUGGCAAGCUGCUUUCUGUCAAGUGGAAGGCUUUCAUGGAGUUACUUGAUGUGGUGGAUCACGGACUUGAGACUUCUGUCGGUUUCCGCCCUCACCGCAAUGCUACGUCCACCCACAAGCAAGCCCUUUGGCCCUACUGCACUGUGAAAGUUUACCCAGUAACUGAGAAGAAGACCUAUGAGCUGUCUCCGUAUCUGGACAUUCUUCAUCACAUCUUCCGUGAGACUCUCUUCACUCGGAUCGGGAAUCUGGAUAUGGUCCACUCUUACCUCGUGGACAUGCUCCUUUUCUGUCAGCAUGAGAAGGAAGCAAGCACUGGAGAGAGCCUGGAUAUUUCUCAUGUCAUGUGGUCUGAACUUCUCUCUACCGUGUCUAAGCGCAAGUGCCCAAUAUAUGGUCCAUUCAUCAUGAGGCUCAUUGAGAGGGCCUGGGCACAGACCUAUCCCAGAGUGUUGCUAGAGACUGGAGACUUGGUUUCUCAUGAGAUCAAGCGUCUGAGGAAGAAGGACAAUUGGGUCACCCCAGCGCCUCAAACAGGGGGUCCGUCUGCUGCUGCUGCUACUGCUGCCAUGGAGACCGAGGGUGGGGCAGCCACUGAUGAUCACGAGGAGGAUAUUGGCCCCUCUAGUGCUGAACCCUCGUGGGCGAAGAAGCUUAAAAACAAAUUGAAGAAGCUUUUCUGCAUGGAGUCUCAUGGUCAGUACAUGACUCAUGUGGUGGAGAAGCAUGCCAGGAUGCGCCACAAGGAGCUCAUGCGUCAGUUGGGAGCGGCAGUUGCCAGUGGUUCUGAGGGUCAGAUCACUGAAGAGGAGGAGUGGAUUCAUCAGCACUGCCCUUGGACCGACUCCGACGCCGAGCAGUUUUCGACCAACGACGGAGAUGCAGACGAUCACGCUGAGAUUUGAUGUUUCGAGAUCCUCAGCUUGCCAUCACCUGGAGUUGUAGCGUCGCUCUUUUCCCUUUUUGGUGUCUCGCUGCCAAAGGGGGAGAGAGUGUAGGGAUUUGUGUCGUGCUUUGUGUUUGUCGUCUUGUGUUUUCUCUCGGUGUCUUUGUUUGGUUUGGUUUGGUGCCCGUGAGACCUAAGUUCUAGACAUAUGGUGUGAGACAUAUGCUCCCUAUCGCUACCUUAUUACUUAUGUCUAUUCAGUACUAUAGUUUAUUAUGAGUUGCAUGCUUGUCCUGUUAUAUUCUCUUCUCUCAUAUAUCUUGUGCUUAGAAUUGUGCUUAGAAUUGUUGGACUAUAAAAUAUAGGGGGAGUGUUGAUCCGAGUGUGUGUGUCUUGCUCCGAAUGCUCCACUAUCUAGGUGCACACAUUCUGGGGGAGCCCGUCUAUAUUUUGUAGUUCAGAGUUUUCUUCUUUUAUUACUUUUCCUUGCGCAAAUCCCUAGUUGUCAUCAAUCCACCAAAAAGGGGGAGAUUGUUACGGCAUAUCUCUCUCAAGGUAGUUUUGGUGAUUGAUGACAACAUGUUUGCGGACUAAUCUUGUGCUUUGAAUAAUUCACAGAUUCUCCCCUGGCACGAGACGUUUUCUUCCGCUCGGAGUGUAUUUCAAGACGGUGUAGCUCUUUCGUUUCUUUCUCGGUGGACUAGUUGCGUAGAGGGCACCAUACUAUCAAGAGGGGGUCCGCUGGGGUAUUGCAUGGGUGGAAUCAACAUGUACACAUCAGCUUCUCACCCUCCGAGCUUUUCCAUUCCAUUGUAGAGAUCUCUACUCUCUUCCUUGUCCUGUCUGGGUCCAAGUGGUAGUACCGCGCAACCCAGCGGUAGUACUGCUGAGGAGCCACACGCAGCAGUAUCGCUCCACAGCGGUAGUACCGCCCGUGGCCCCACAGCAGUAGUACCGCUGGGGUGGCUGGCACCUCCGCCUCGUCCUCAGCCUCUUUGGAGAGAUUCUCUCUCUCUUCUAUGCCCCAGCGGUAGUACCGCACUACCAGCGGUAGUAUGGCCGAAGGGUCACAAGCGGCAGUACCGCUCCACGGCGGUAGUACCGCCCGUGACCCCGCUGCCGUAGUACCGCUGGGCUGUGUGGCUCCUACCGCCGCGACUCGAGGGGUCUUUUUCUCAUGUCGGGUUUUGCGACACUAGUUGCGGUUGUAGAGGCGGUAGUACCGUUCCAGGAGCGGUAGUACCGCCCCUACCACCGCGGUAGGUCCUAUUCCCUACUAGUCUCCUCUGUGUGGCAGUGCCGCUGGCUGGCGCGGCAGUACCGCUGACCUGGCGGUAGUACCGCCCCCUCUCAGCGGUAGUACUGCCCUGUGCGGGGCUGGUUGGUGAGGGACAACGGUUGGAUUGUUGCCCCCACUAUAAAAGGGAGUCCCCUUCUUCUCUUUGACCUACCUCUUCCUCCCCCAAGCUCCAUUUAUUGCUCAAGCUCCAUUAAAUGUUGCAAGCUCCAUUUUCGCCCGAUCUAUCUCUCUAGCCAAUCAAACUUGUUGAUUUGCUCGAGAGUGGUUGCGAAGGCCCCGAUCUAUACUUCCACCAAGGGAUUUUCGAUUCCCCCACUCAUCCCUAGCGGAUCUUGUUACUCUUGGGUGUUUGAGCACCCUAGACGGUUGAGGUCAUCACGGAGCCAUAGUCCAUUGUGGUGAAACUUCGUGGUUUUGUUGGGAGCCUCCGAUUAAGUUGUGGAUAUUGCCCCAACCUUAUUUGUAAAGGUUCGGUCGCCGCCUUCAAGGGCACCAAUAGUGGAAUCACGGCAUCUCGCAUUGUGUGAGGGCGUGAGGAGAAUACGGUGGCCCUAGUGGCUUCUUGGGGAACAUCGUGCCUCCACACCGCUCCAACGGAGACGUACUUCCCUUCAAAGGGAAGGAACUUCGGUAACACAUCCUCGUCUUCACCGGAUCCACUCUUGGUUAUCUCUUACCUUUACUUGUGCAAGCUCUUUAGUGUUACCUCUCUUGCUUGCUUGUUUGCUUGUUGGUAUUGCAUCAUAUAGGUUGCUCACCUAGUUGCACAUCUAGACAACCUACUUUGAUGCAAAGUUUAAUUUGAUAAAGAAAAGUUAAAAAUUGGUAGUUGCCUAUUUACCCCCCCUCUAGUCAACCAUAUCGAUCCUUUCAAAAAGUAAAGAGUACACUGAUGGUACAGUAUGAUAUGACAGAGUUAAACGUGCUUUUCUUAGUAGUGUCGGAGAACCAAUUAAUUUGCAUGAUGCUCUAGAUCUUAGAGAAUGGAAGGAGGCUAUGGAUAAUGAAUAUGAUGCACUCAUGAAAAAUAGAACUUGGCACUUAGUACCUUCAAGGAAGGGUAGCAAUGUCAUAUAUUGCAAAUGGGUAUAUAAGAUAAAAAGAAAAUCUGAUGGAAGCAUAGACAGAUAAAAGGCUAGAUUAGUUGCCAAAGGGUUACGGAGAUUUGGUAUUGAUUAUGAAGAUACAUUUAGUCCUGUUGUUAAGGUAGCUACCAUUCGACUUGUAUUGUCUAUUGCUAUUUCCAAAGGUUGGAGUCUAUGGCAGCUAGAUGUUCAGAACACAUUUCUUCAUGGUGUUCUUCAUGAAGAAGUGUUCAUGCGGCAGCCACCUGGAUAUGAGAAUCAAAGCACACCACAUUAUGUCUUUAAGUUGGAUAAAGCUUUGUAUGGUUUGAAACAGGCCCCAAGAGCUUGGUACUCAAGGUUGAGCAUGCUGUUACAACAACUUGCGUUUACACCAUCUAAAGCAGACACUUCAUUGUUCUUUUAUCAUAAAGACAAUAUCACUAUAUUUGUGCUUGUUUAUGUUGAUGAUAUAAUUGUUGCAAGUUCAAGUUCAGAUGCUACCACUUGUUUGCUUAAAGAUCUUAAGUUGGAGUUUGCUCUCAAAGAUUUGGGAGAUCUUCACUACUUCCUUGGCAUAGAGGUCAAGUAGAUUAAGGAUGGUACCAUUCUUACACAGGAAAAGUACACUACCGACAUACUCAGAAGAGUAGGACUGCAACACUGUAAGCCUGUAAGUACACCAAUUUUAACUUCUGGAAAACUUACAAUUGAGAGUGGAGAAGCACUUGGACCAGAGGAUGCAACUAAUUACAUAAGUGUUGUGGGUGCUUUGCAAUAUUUGACUCUUACACGUCCUGAUAUUUCUUACUCUGUGAAUAAGGUAUGUCAGUAUUUACAUGCACCUAGAACAACUCACUGGACUGCAGUCAAGAGGAUUUUAAGGUAUCUUAAGUUUUCUGAAGGACUUGGGCUUCAAAUUACCAAGUCUCCAUCUCUGCUUGUUACUGCUUACUCUGAUGCAGACUGGGUUGGGUGUGCUGAUGAUAGAAGAUCUACAUGUGGUUUUGCUGUGUUUCUGGGAACUAAUCUUAUAUCCUGGAGUGCAAGAAAACAGGCUACUGUCUCACGAUCAAGUACAGAGGCUGAAUAUAAAGCUUUGGAAAAUGCUACACCUGAAGUAAUGUGGAUACAAACAUUGCUCUAUGAACUUGGAAUCAAGGCUCCACAAGCUGCUAGAUUAUGGUGUGAUAAUAUUGGCGCAACCUAUCUUUCAGCUAAUCAUGUUUUUCAUGCACGCACUAAACAUAUUGAAGUUGAUUUCCACUUUGUCAGAGAAAGGGUAGCUCGAAAGGUACUUGAUAUUCGGUUUAUACCUACUUGAGAUCAACUUGCUGAUGGAUUCACAAAACCUCUCACUAUGAGGAGGUUGGAUGAGUUCAAGUACAAUCUUAACCUUGCGAAAGUUUCUUGAGGUUUAGAUUGAGGGGGAGUAUUAGAAGAUAUUGUACAGAGAUAGGAAAGGUGUUUAACUUGUAUCUCUUUCUAUCUCUUCUUCUGUUCUAUCUCCUCAAACCUCCUGUAACAAUCAUGAUCGAUCUCCUCUCGAUCUGUUCUUGUAAGCCCCGGCACACAACAUAUAUGUACAACUGCGGCCCGAGCAAAGGGUUCAAUGCUUCCAUCUACUUUUACACGCUUGGCGUCUUGCUAACGAACCAGAAAUUCGCGAGGUAGAUGAUAACCUCUUCGUCAUCCAGCUCUUUUAUUUGGGCGACUGGAACAUGGUCAUGCACCAGGGCCCGUGGAUCUACAGAAACCUCGUGGUUGCCAUCAAGGAAUAUGACGGCAAGGGGAAACCUAAUUCUGUCCCGCUGGAUAGAGUCCAUAUCUGGGCACAGAUUCAUGACACUCCCGAGCUUUAUAGGAAGGAACCAAUCAUGGAUAAGCUGGCUCGCCGUAUAGGACAAGUGAAGAGCAUAGAUAUGAAUCCUCCUCGUAAUUUUGAGGGCAAAUAUGUUAGGGUCUGAGCUAAGAUCAAAAUAGCAAAACCCCUAGUCAGGUUUACCCCGUUGAACAUCAAUUGGAAAGAACGGAUUAUCUUUCCAGUAAAAUUUGAGAAUAUAGCUUUCUUCUGCGAAGUAUGCGGAAUCAUGGGACACUCAAUGGAAGAAUGUGGUGAUGGUGUCCACAGUCCGGAAGAGAUUGAAUACGGCGAAUGGAUGAAAGCGACAAGGAGAACUUUGCCAGAGAAUCAGUAUGGUCGUGACAAUCCGAGCAGGAACAGGGGGAACACCUUUCGUGGGCAUGGCAGAGCCCGUGGAGGGGGGCGUGGGAACAACAACAAUGGAGCAAAAAAAAUGGUCUUCUGAGGAGGCUGGGCUUUAGGAGGAUGUCGAUCUCGACGAUGAGCUUGGAGAUACAGCAGCCAACCCGCUCAAGUGUAAGGAGGCGAACUGUGGUACAGAACCCCGCCAGUCAGCAGCGAGGAAAAAGCUGGACUUGGAGGGAGAAAAUCUUACCUCAUAUGAGGGCAAUGAUUCGGCUGAGGCAGAAAUAGAGAAGGAGGUUCAGCACGGGGAAAUUCCCCCUCCCCCUCCGGCGUACGUCUCUCCAAGGGACAGGAAGAAACCAAAAAACGGGGUGUCUCCCAUCAAAAAGACGAGCACUAUGGACAUCUUGGCAGGCUCCCUGGAGGAGCGCCGCCGGGUCCAAUGAGUCUAUCAUGCUGGAACUGUCGCGGGGCAGGCAAACCCGCGACAGUUCGACCGCUUCGCAACUUCGCGAGGCAAUUUGCCCCAUCGGUGUUGUGCUUAGUAGAAACUCAACUUCCUAGAGAUCGAGUAGAGAACUUGGCAGACACCCUAGGUUAUGAUAAUUCCUAUGCUGUUAGUAGCUCUGGCAGUGGUGGUUUAGGUAUUUUUGGAAUAAUGAAAUAAAGAUUACGAAUUUUGGUUACUCUGAUUAUCACAUUCAUGCUCUUGUUACUUUCCCCGGUACUGUACCAUGGCGGUUAAUAGUUAUGUAUGGAGAAGCUUAGGUCAGGGAAAGAGGAAGAACUUGGGACCUCAUGCGGUCUCUAGUUGCAGAAAAUGAUCAACCAUGGAUUUGCAUGGGAGACUUUAACGAAGUGUUGAACAUGGAUGAGCACGAUGGUGUCGGCUAGCGUAGUAUGCCACAAGUGUAUUGCUUCAGAGAUGCUAUUGACUCAUGUGGAUUAACAGAUUUGGGAUUCUCAGGUGCUAAAUGGACGUUUGAGAAGAAGGUAACAGGCGACACAUACACGAGGGUUCGCCUCGACAUAGCCUUAGCUAGCGCUGAAUGGUGUAGCAUGUACCCAAGAGCGGAAUUGUUUCACAAAACUGCUUCUACCUCUGAUCAUAGCCCCAUUUUGCUUUGUCUCCAACCUAAAGAUGAUGCAGCACGUCACCAUGAAAAACAUUUUAGAUAUGAGAUUAUGUGGGUUCACCUCCGAGGGCACUGCUAAUAUGCAUUAGGUGACCGAUGUGGUGCCACGCAAAGUGUCAAAUGAGAUGAACCAGUGGCUUAUUGCGGACUAUAAUAAAGAGGAAAUCAAGAUGGCUCUUUUCCAAACGGCACUUACCAAAGCACCGGGUUCAGAUGGGUUCCCAGCGCAUUUCUUCCAGAGGCAUUGGGAUUUGUGUGGCGACGAAGUUACCUCGAUCAUACUAAAAAUCCUGAGAGGUGAAGAGGAAGUGGACGAGUUGAAUGAAACGAUUCUAGUCCUCAUCCCCAAGGUAACGAAUCCCACACUUCGGACACAAUUCCGUCCUAUUAGCUUGUGCAAUGUUCUAUACAAGAUUGCGUCGAAAGUUAUGGCCAACAGGUUGAAACCCAUGCUACCGGAAAUUAUAUCUGAAGAGCAGUCGACCUUUGUUACUGGGAGGCUAGUAACAGACAACAUAAUUUCAGCCUAUGAGUGCAUCCAUUUUAUGAAACGGAACAGGUCAAAGAAGAAUGUUUUUUGUGCUUUGAAAUUAGAUAUGAUGAAGGCCUACGAUCGUUUGGAGUGGGAAUACCUUCGAGCUGUAAUGACCAAGCUGGGUUUUGCACCAGCUUGGAUCAAUUUGGUUAUGAGGAUGGUGAGUUCAGUUAAGUUCUCAGUUUUAUUCAAUGGAAAAAAGCUUGAGCAAUUCACACCUUCAUGGGGGAUUCGUCAGGGGGAUCCAAUAUCACCUUACCUGUUCUUGCUGGCAGCAGAGGGCCUUACUUGCCUCUUAAAAAGUCAAAACGAGUCAUCGCCUAUUCAUGGCAUCGAAGUGGCAGAAACGGCACCGCUGGUAAGCCACCUAAUUUUUGCAUAUGACAACCUGCUGUUUGUCAAAGCUAGUGAUGAGGGAGAUAUUUUGGUAUCCUCUCUGUUGGAUUCGUACUGUCAGGCAUCUGGACAAAAAAUUAUCUAGCCAAAUCCUCAGUUUUUUUCAGCAAGGGAUGCUCACAGAAUGUUAUAGAGAGUAUGAAAAAUAUUCUGAAUGUUCAUAAUGAAAGUCUUUCAGAAAAGUACUUGGGCAUGCCGACGGAUGUAGGGAGUAGCAAAAAUGAAGCCUUUAAGUACCUGAAAGAUAGAGUCUGGAAUAAAGUAAAGGGAUGGAUGGAGAAAGUUCUAUCAUCAGGAGGGCAAGAAGUACUCAUUAAAUCUGUAGCUCAAGCGGUUCCAGUGUACUCAAUGGCGUGUUUCAAGUUACCCCGGGGUCUAUGUCUUCAUAUUAACUCCAUCAUUCGUAAAUUNNNNNNNNNNNNNNNNNNNNNNNNNNNNNNNNNNNNNNNNNNNNNNNNNNNNNNNNNNNNNNNNNNNNNNNNNNNNNNNNNNNNNNNNNNNNNNNNNNNNNNNNNNNNNNNNNNNNNNNNNNNNNNNNNNNNNNNNNNNNNNNNNNNNNNNNNNNNNNNNNNNNNNNNNNNNNNNNNNNNNNNNNNNNNNNNNNNNNNNNNNNNNNNNNNNNNNNNNNNNNNNNNNNNNNNNNNNNNNNNNNNNNNNNNNNNNNNNNNNNNNNNNNNNNNNNNNNNNNNNNNNNNNNNNNNNNNNNNNNNNNNNNNNNNNNNNNNNNNNNNNNNNNNNNNNNNNNNNNNNNNGGAGGACUGGGAUUUAGAGAUGUCAAACUCUUUAAUCUUGCUUUAUUAGCAAGACAGGCGUGGCGAAUCCUUCAGUCACCAGAUACUCUUAGUGCCAGAAUUCUCAAAGCACAGUAUAUUCCAUCCACUGAUUUCCUUGAUGCUCAACUUGGAAGCCAACCUUCACAGAUUUGGAGGGCGAUUGUUGAAGGGAAGGAGAUCCUUUUACAGGGCCUAGUGAGGCGCAUUGGAGAUGGGAAAGAAACUAUGAUAUGGCAGCAUAAUUGGGUCCCAAAAGAGGCGUCUUUGAGGCCUAUUGCCUGCCUAACUCCACAUAGACCACAAUUGGUGUCAGAACUGAUUGAUAGUACCACGGCAACAUGGAAACAGAGCAUGGUUAGAGCUACUUUUCUUCCUCUGGAUGCCGAGGUAAUACUCAACAUACCUCUAUGCACUAGUCAAUGUAGUGAUUUCUGGGCAUGGGCUCAUGAACAGAAGGGAGAAUUCUGGGUUCGUUCAGCAUAUCGGAUGUUGAUCACGACGAAACUUCGAAGGGAAGCUUAGCUUGAAGGCCGGUCUGGAGCAGCUGACAGAACUAGAGAACAAACGAGCUGGUCUAAUUUAUGGAAGAUCAAAGUCCCAUCAAAGAAAAAGGUUUUCUUGUAGAGACUUGCACAAUGCUCACUGCCUUCUGCCGAUGUACUCAAUCAUCGGAAUAUGGCCACCUCAUCGUGUUGUGCUAUAUGUGGAGGUGAGGACUCAUGGAUGCACUCACUUAUCACGUGUAUGGCGAGGUGCGUAUGGGCGUUAAGCGAUCCGGAGCUCGUGGAGCACCUGCUAGCCAUGGCUGAACCGGAUGCAAAAUCAUGGUUAUUUAGUAUGCAGGAAUCAAUGCCCCACGACGAGUUUGUCAAACUGACGUUCACACUUUGGGCUAUCUGGUCGGCGCGCAGGAAGCUAAUCCACGAAGGGAGCACCAGAGCCGACUGGCGACGUCCCAUUUCAUUACCAGGUACCUGUCCGACUUACAAUUGGCUGGGCCGACACAGGCAAUAUCAAAUCCGAGGCAAGCUCCUGUUCAGGUACGGGCGUGGAGCACUCCACCUGCGGGCCAUCAUAAGAUAAAUGUAGAUGCAGCCACUUGUAAAAACCCGCAGGUAGGAUCAAUCAGCGCUGUAUGUCGUGAUGAGCAUGGUACUUAUGUUGGCUCUUCGGCAUUGGUCUUUCACGGACUCACGGACCCGACAACAUUAGAAGCUCUUGCUUGCCGGGAAGCCACUGCUUUGGCCAAGGACUUGAUGAUCACUAAAAUUUGUGUGGCCUCGGAUUGCCUCUCUGUUGUCAACGAUAUUCAUACUGGAACUCUUAGGAUUAUUGCACCAAUUGUGAAGGAGAUCAACAAUAUAGCUACAGAUUUCCUCUCCAGCUCUUUUAUUCAUGAAGGACGUCCCUCCAAUAAGGAGGCCCAUAGUUUAGCUAGGCAUGCUUUACAUCUAGAUGAAGGUCGUCAUGUGUGGUUUUUAAACCCUUUUGAUACUUCUAUUAUCCCUGUAUAAUUUGUACCAUUGAUCAAUAAAGUAAAGCAUGUUAGCCUUCAAAAAAAAAAAAGAGUGGCGCGAGCAGUAUCUCCCACAUGGGAAGGUAGCGAGCGCUCUGUCUCCCACACGCGAAUGUAGCCAAAGUUCGUGACCUGUGGUAGCAUUCCGGCGACUGCCUAUGUAAAUGAUCCUUUUUUAACGUACUUCACAUGCAGUGCUUUUGCUAGGUACACAUGUGAUGGUAUAAACACUAGAGCACCAUCUUUCUCGAUGCUGAUCGUGGUUGAGUCAACGUUGCUAAUGUUCAGAGUAGCAUUGUUGACGCCGCCACCUUAUUCGAAGCAUGACAUCGUAGCAGCAUCGAAGCAGCGGGGUCGCCAUUGCCACACCACUGCGGUCGUUGCAUUAUCAAUGGUGCAACUACGCAACACUGUCAUGGAAACACGUUUGCAGCAUUGUCGUGGUUGUCGAAGAAGGACGUCGUGGUUGUCGAGCCAUGUCGUCAUUACAGCCGUCGAAGCACAUCACCAACGUUAAAAGCAUGUUGCCGCGCUAUCGCCCCAGUCGUUGAAGCAUGUCUCGUAGCAUCACUACUGGUGUUUGAGCAUGUUGUCGUGCCUACGUCGCGCCUGUUGUAGCAUCGUCAAAGCAGUUGGGAUGCCGUCGCAGCAUAGCCACGGCCGCCGAACCAUAGGUGUUCGAAGCAUGUGGUCACGUCAUCAUCGCGGCCAUCACAACAUGCCUCGUAACGUCGCCGCGGUCGUCGAAGCAGUCAGAUGUCGCAGAGACCGUCGUACAUAGUAGCACUAUCCACAGCCUUCGGUGUUGUCGAGGUCGUCGGUGCUGCGACCGAGAAUUACCGAGCGGCAAGGUGCAGUAACGCGAGCUGCAAUGGAGCAACGUCGGUGCAGCGACGGAGCAUCAUGGGGCGUGCUGCACUAAUCCAUUUUAUGUACGGAUUGCUGUACUAAUCAAUUUUAUGUAAGGAUUGCUUAGGACACGUAAGUAUGGUCGGUCAAGGAAACUGAAUCCCGGGCGGGCUCGCUGUCGAUCCAUCUAUACAUCCGACGGCAAGUUGGAUCCUCCCGCCGGCUACGCCUUCGAACCAGCCGAGCACGAGCUGAUCACCAAGUUCCUCCGCCCAUGGAUCGCCGCCGGACCGGACGCCUUCUUGGCCAGCCGCCUCGUCCACGAGUUUGACGCCUACUCCGGCGCCCCCGGCGACCUCGUCGAGAUGUAUCAACACGCGCAAGGAACGGACAAGGGCGACGGGGAAGGGGGCGUCUGGUACUUCUUCACCCCUGCCCGUCGUCACCAGACCAAAGGCGGCCGCGGUGGCGGGAGGUGGCAGCGCCCCGUGGCCGACGCCGGCGAGGGUUACUACUGGCACUCGGAGAAGGGCGGGAUCCGUGUGCUAGACAACCAAGGUAAACUCGUAGGCCAUAGAAGAAACCUCAGCUACGUCAAGAAGUUGGCUGGAGAAAAAGAGAAGAUCAGGAUCAGCUGGUGCAUGGCCGAGUACAGCCUCGACGGCGACGGCAAGCAAGACGGCUUGGUGCUCUCCAAGGUCUGCGUGGCUCGUCACAGGAGCGAGACCACAUACGACGAGGUAAUCAAUGCCCCCGGUUCCAGGAAAAGGAAGGCCGCCGACGUCCAGCACCCGGAUGCUCCACGUCCCCAAACCCCACGCCGCCAGGAACCGCCGAUCGUCCAACAACCCGCGAUGCUUCAUGUCCGACGAAGGCGAGACGUUGUUGCCGCCCGGAGCAGUGGACGACGGCAGCGUGGAUCCAGGCGGGUUCUUCACCGGCGACAUGCUUCAAGAUUUUCCCGAGCUCCAUGACGCUGUGGUGGCGCAGGGAUUCUUGCCCGGUAAACUCGACGGCGCAGUCCAAGAAGGCACCGGCGCUGCAGAGGAUGAAGACGACGCCUUCCGGUGCACGUUAGAUGAGCUGCUCGGCUUCUGCGACGCCACGACUGUACUAGUCUAGAAGAGUGGAUCGUUCCACCACGUGAGGACCGAGUGCGUGAUGAACAACUCUUGCCUGCAUCCAGGAGAUGAUCCAAGAGAUGAUGUACUAGUCUAGGGAAAUACCCGAUGGUUCCUGGGUACAUAUGUACCCUAUAUGGGGAUUUUUUUAAUGAUUAAACAAAAAGUCAAAAUAGUUAAGAAACUAUUUUUAGAAUAAACUUGACUUAUUUGCGCACUAGUAUAUGAAUUUUCACAAAAAAAGAAAUUACGUUGAUUUCACAGCGAAAAAGAUAAAAUUUAUUUGCUAUUAUAGGUCACUGUUCAUGCUAUUUUGACUGAAAAUUUGUUUUUUUUAAAAGAAGUCAAAGAGGAAUUUUAUUUUGUUGGAACUUUUCUUACUAGUACAAUGGAAGGUUAAGUUUUUUCCAAAAAUAUUUUUAGAAAUUUUCGACUUUUUAUUGAAUUACUAAUUUUUUUUCCAUAUAGGAUACAUAUGUACCCAGGAACUAAACGUUCCCCUCCGUUUAGUCUAGCUUAGCUUUGAUGUAUGUCAUUGUCAUGGCACACAAACACAAGGUGUCUUGCUAAUUGUAUUGUCAUGGCACACAAACACAAGGUGUCUUGCUAAUUGUAUUGUCAUGAUGAACAAGCAAUAAAUCCGUGUGCAGCAGCCUAAUUGAUUAAUUUCUCUAUUUUUCUCUCCAUAUAUUCGUUUUAUAGUACGUACGUGAUGGUUAUAAGUGUUUCAGUUUCUCUGUUCAUGAUUUACAUCUGAUUGCCCAUGCAUAUAUGUCCAUGUUAAAAAUUAGAGAAAAGUAUACUUUUCGUCCUCAACUCUUGGUAAAGUCUAGAUUUGGUCCCUCAACUUCAAAACCGGACAACUUGCACCCCCAACUACCGAAACCGAACAAGGUUCGUCCCUGGACUCGGUUUUGACCGGUUUUGGUGCUGACUCACCCCGGUUUUGACCGGUGCUCACUCAUAUUUGUAUAAUUUUUUUAUGUCCGUGAACUUUUUGAAUUUCACAUACACUUUUCAACUCUACGUAAUUUUAUCAAGCUCGCGUAUUUUUCAAAAAUAAACAUACUUUUUUUCAAAUCAGCAAACUAUUUUGAAAUUUGCAUACUUUUAUAAUAUGUGUUCCUUUUAUGCUAAUCCAUGAACUUUGUUUGAAAUUCACGUAUUUGUUUCAAGCUGAAAUAAUUUUUGAAAUCCACAUAUUUUUGCGUAAAAAUUUCCAUAUCCGCAUACUUUUUUCCAGUUCGCAUAAACUUUUCAAAUUCAUGAGCUCUUUCCAAAAAAAUGUACUCGAAUAUGAAAAGGUACAUCAAUUUAAAAAAACUAGAUGAACUUUAAAAAAAUACGCAUAAUUAAAAAAGUAUAUGAACUUGGAAAAAGUAUGCAGAUUUUAAAAAAGUACACAAAUUUUAAAAAGGUUCAUGUAUUUGAAAAAAGUAACCGUAUUUUAAAAAGGUUCACGUAAUUGAAAAAAGUAACCGAAUUUUAAAAAGGCUCCCGUACUUGGAAAAGGUAGGCAAAUUUGAGACGGAACGGUCAAAACCGGGGUGGGACGGCACCAAAACCGUGACCAGGGAUGAAUCUUGUCCGAUUUCAGAAGUUAAGGGUGCAAAUUGUCCGGUUUUGGAGUUGAGGGACCAAAUCUAGACUCCGCCAAAAAUUAAGGGAUGAAAUGUAUACUUUUCUCUAAAAAUUAUCUUGAUUAGGACUUUUCUACAAUUAAUAAUCUUUACUAUCGAUGGUUUUCGGUAUGGAUGGUGCUUUGUAUCAGCUACAAGCCUACAACAAGCGAUACGGUCACUACUUUUCCUAGCUACGCACAUAUCUCCGCUAGCACCUCAUGAGUCAUGACCCUCGUGAAAUGCUCACCAUUCACCCGCAAUGCCUCCACUGUGGGUCACCGUUGUUGACGCAAUAUGUUUUUUUAUGAUUUUUGCAGUGUUUUUCCUGCUUUAUUUUUUCUUUUUAGUCCUUUUUUACUUGGUUUUUAUUUCUUUUUCUCCUCCUGUGUUUAUUAUAUGGGGAGUGCUACGCGUUCGCCGGGCGAUCUUUUUAAAAGAUCGCCCGGUCAUGACCCGUUGGAUCUGGUGCGUGGAGUGCGCCUUCAUCAUUGCAACAGACGUACUGUUACAGAACUACUUUCACAACAUAGGUCUUGUCGCAGAAUUUUUUGCAAUGACGGUUUUGUUGAAAAAAAUUGUAAUUUUUUUUGGAAAACUCUUUCCUUCACCCGCACGCAAUCCAUCCGCCGCCUCCUCUACGUGACUUGUGUACAUGUAUCCUUCGCGUCUCUCUUUCUACAACAUCAUAUGUGUUGCAAAACUGUCUUCCACAACAACACCCAUGUUGCGAAUAAAUGAAGACGAAAAAAAUAACAAAUAUUUUUGCAACAUUGUCUGUGUUGCAAUUUGGUUUCCGCAACAACACCCAUGUUGCAAAAACGGUGGUGAAAAAAAAUCUGCAACAUCAACUAUGUCGGAAAAAUUUCUGCAACAUAACCUUUCUUACAAAAUAUUUCUGCAACACUGCCCUUGUUGCAAUAAUGAAAAUAAUGUUGGAUGCUGGAUAGUUGUACAAAUGACAGUUGCCGAGACGGCGGAGCGUGGCCCAAGUUUUUUGCAACUCAGGUCUUGCAGAAGAAAAUUCCUGCACAAAAGGUUUUGCUGCAAAACACAAAUCCCGUUGUAGACCAUUGCAAUACAACAUCUAUUUCAGAAACAUAGCCCUUGUUACAGAAAAGCGCGUCCGAUUAAGGGCCGCAUGCGAGCCUUCACUUGGACACGUCGAGGCGGCCGUUGCAAUCCGCAGGAUGAUGGCAAACAUUUCCCAUUGUUUUUUAUUCAUUGUGUUGAUGAUUACCAACCGGGCGCUGCUAUUAUUGAGUGGUCAAGUAUCACCCUGUAGCAUUGCAACAUAUGUCGUGUUCCAGAAAAUUUCUGCAACAGAGGUUAUGUUGUAGAAAAUUUUACAGCAUAGGCCAAGUUGCAGAUUUUUUUACAAAAGGUCUGGUUAUAGUUUCUUUUUCUUGCAACAGAGGUCUUGUCUCAAAAAAAUUCAUGACAAAAGUCUUGUUACAUAAGUCGGGAAAUUUGCAAAAAAAAAUUGCAACAAAGGUCUUGUUGCAAAAUUAUUCUGUGAUGGAGGUCUUGUUGCAGAAAUUAGUAGUCUUUUCACAAUCAAUUUCCGUGCGAACCGAGGCCUGAAGGAAAUAUGCCCUAGAUGUAAUAAUAAAUUUAUUAUUUAUUUCCUUAUUUCAUGAUAAAUGUUUAUUAUUCAUGCUAGAAUUGUACUAACCGGAAACGUAAUACAUGUGUGAAUACAUAGACAAACAGAGUGUCACUAGUAUGCCUCUACUUGACUAGCUCGUUGAAUCAAAGGUGGUUAAGUUUCCUAGCCAUAGACAUGAGUUGUCAUUUGAUUAACAGGAUCACAUCAUUAGGAGAAUGAUGUGAUUGACUUGACCCAUUUUGUUAGCUUAGCACUUGAUCAUUUAGUAUGUUGCUAUUGCUUUCUUCAUGACUUAUACAUGUUCCUAUGACUAUGAGAUUAUGCAACUCCCGUUUACUGGAGGAACACUUUAUGUGCUACCAAACGUCACAACGUAACUGGGUGAUUAUAAAGGUGCUCUACAGGUGUCUCCGAAGGUACUUGUUGGGUUGGCGUAUUUCGAGAUUAGGAUUUGUCACUCCAAUUAUCGGAGAGGUAUCUCUAGGCCCACUCGGUAAUACACAUCACUUAAGCCUUGCAAGCAUUGUAACUAAUGAGUUAGUUCCGGGAUGAUGUAUUAUGAAACAAGUAAAGAGACUUGCCGGUAACGAGAUUGAACUAGGUAUUGAGAUACCGACGAACGAAUUUUGGGCAAGUAACAUACCGAUGACAAAGGGAACAACGUAUGUUGUUAUGCGGUUUGACCGAUAAAGAUCUUCGUAGAAUAUGUGGGAGUCAAUAUGAGCAUCCAGGUUCUGCUAUUGGUUAUUGAUCGGAGACAUGUCUCGGUCAUGUCUACAUAGUUCUCGAACCCGUAGGGUCCGCAUGCUUAAAGUUCGAUGACGGUUAUAUUAUGAAUUUAUGUGUUUUGAUGUACCGAAGGUAGUUCGGAGUCCCGGAUGAGAUCGGGUACAUGAUGAGGAGUCUCGAAAUGGUUGAGACGUAAAGAUCGAUAUAUUGGACGACUAUAUUCGGACAUCGGAAAGGAUCCGAGUGAUUCGGGUAUUUAUCGGAGUACCGGGGAGUUACGGGACUUCGCCGGGGAGUGUAUGGGCCUUAUUGGGCUUUAGGGGAAAGAGAGAGAGGCAGGCCGCGCGCCCCCCCAAGGCCUAGUCCGAAUUGGACUAGGGGGAAGGGCUGCGCCGCCUCCUUCCUUCUCUUCUCUUUUCCCUUUCCUUCUCUCCUACUCCUACUACUUGGAAGGGCUCCUAGUUCUACUAGGAAAGGGGGAAUCCUACUCCCGGGGGGAGUAGGACUCCACUAGGGCGCGCCAUAGAGAGAGCCAGCCCCUUCCCUCCUCCACUCCUUUAUAUACGUGGCCAGGGGCACCCCAUAGACACAACAAUUGAUCUCUUGAUCUCUUAGCCGUUUGUGGUGCCCCCUCCACCAUAAUCCACCUUGAUCAUAUCGUAGCGGUGCUUAGGCGAAGCCCUGCGUCGGUAGAACAUCAUCAUCGUCACCAUGCCGUCGUGCUGACGAAACUCUCCCUCAACACUCGGCUGGUCGGAGUUUGAGGACAUCAUCAAGUUGAACGUGGGUAGAACUCGAAGGUGCCGUGCGUUUAGUACUUGAUCGGUCUGAUCGUGAAGACGUACGACUACAUCAACCGCGUUGUGCUAAUGCUUCCGCUUUCGGUCUACGAGGGUAUGUGGACACACUCUCCCCUCUCAUUGCUAUGCCUCACCAUGAUCUUGCGUGUGCGUAUGAAUUUUUUUUAAAAAUUACUACGUUCCCCAACAGUGCUAUCAAAGCCAGGUUUUAUGCGUAGAUGUCAUAUGCACGAGUAGAACACAAGUGAGUUGUGGGCGAUAUAAGUCAUACUGCUUACCAGCAUGUCAUACUUUGGUUCGGCGGUAUUGUUGGAUGAAGCGGCCCGGACCGACAUUACACGUACGCUUACGCGAGACUGGUUCUACCGACGUGCUUUGCACACAGGAGGCUGGCGGGUGUCAGUUUCUCCAACUUUAGUUGAACCGAGUGUGGCUACGCCCAGUCCUUGCGAAGCUUAAAACAACACCAACUUGACAAACUAUCGUUGUGGUUUUGAUGCGUAGAUAAGAACGGUUCUUGCUCAGCCCGUAACAGCUACGUAAAAACUUGCAACAACAAAGUAGAGGACGUCUAACUUGUUUUUGCAGGGCAUGUUGUGAUGUGAUAUGGUCAAAGCAUGAUACUAAAUUUUAUUUUAUGAGAUGAUCAUGUUUUGUAACCGAGUUAUCCGCAACUGGCAGGAGCCAUAUGGUUGUCGCUUUAUUGUAUGCAAUGCAAUCAUCCUAUAAUGCUUUACUUUAUCACUAAGCGGUAGCGAUAGUCGUGGAAGCAUAAGAUUGGCGAGACGACAACGAUGCUACGAUGGAGAUCAAAGUGUCGCGUCGGUGACGAUGGUGAUCAUAACGGUGCUUCGGAGAUGGAGAUCACAAGCACACGAUGAUGAUGGACAUAUCAUAUCACUUAUAUUGAUUGCAUGUGAUGUUUAUCUUUUAUGCAUCUUGUCUUGCUUUGGUUAACGGUAGCAUUAUAAGAUGAUCUCUCACUAAAUUUCAAGAUAAAAGUGUUCUCCCUGAGUAUGCACCGUUGCCAAAGUUCAUCGUGCCCAGACACCAUGUGAUGAUUGGGUGUGAUAAGCUCUACGUCCAUCUACAACGGGUGCAAGCCAGUUUUGCACACGCAGAAUACUCAGGUUAAACUUGACAAGCCUAGCAUAUGCAGAUAUGGCCUCGGAACACUGAGACCGAAAGGUCGAGCGUGAAUCAUAUAGUAGAUAUGAUCAACAUAGUGAUGUUCACCAUUGAAAGCUACUCCAUUUCACGUGAUGAUCCUUUAUGGUUUAGUUGAUAUGGAUCACGUGAUCACUUAGAGGAUUAGAGAGAUGCCUAUCUAAGUGGGAGUUCUUAAGUAAUAUUAUUAAUUGAACUUAAAUUUAUCAUGAACUUAGUCCUGGUAGUAUUAGCAUAUCUAUGUUGUAGAUCAAUAGCUCGUGUUUAGCUCCCCUGUUUUAUUUUUUGAUAUUUUCCUAGAGAAAACUAAGUUGAAAGAUGUUAGUAGCAAUGAUGCGGAUUGGAUCCGUGAUCUAAGGUUUAUCCUCAUUGCUGCACAGAAGAAUUAUGUCCUUGAUGCACCGCUAGGUGACAAACCUAUUGCAGGAGCAGAUGCAGAUGUUAUGAAAGUUUGGCUAGCUCAAUAUGAUGACUACUUGAUAGUUUAGUGCACCAUGCUUAAAUGGCUUAGAAUCGGGACUUCAAAGACAUUUUGAAUGUCAUUGACCAUAUGAGAUGUUCCAGAAGUUGAAGUUAAUAUUUCAAGAAAAUACCCGAGUUGAGAGAUAUGAAGUCUCCAACAAGUUCUAUAGCUAAAAGAUGGAGGAGAAUAGCUCAAGCAGUGAGCAUGUGCUCAAAUUGUCUGGGUACUACAAUCGCUUGAAUCAAGUGGGAGUUAAUCUUCUAGAUAAAAUAGUGAUUGACAGAAUUCUCUAGUCACAAUCACCAAAUUAGUAGAACUUUGUGAUGAACUAUAGUAUGCAAGGGAUGACGAAAAUGAUUCCCAAGCUUUUCAUUAUGAUUAAAUCGAUGAAGGUAGAAAUCAAGAAAGAGCAUCAAGUGUUGAUGAUUAACAAGACCACUAGUUUCAAGAAAAGGGCAAAGGGAAAGAAAGGGAAAUUCAAGAAGAACAGCAAGAAAGUUGCUGCUCAAGUGAAGAAGCCCAAGUCUGGACCUAAGCAUGAGACUAAGUGCUUCUACUGCAAAGGGACUGGUCACUGGAAACGGAACUACCCCAAGUAUUUGGCGGACAAGAAGGAUGGCAAAGUGAACAAUGCUAUAUUUGAUAUACAUGUUAUUGAUGUGUACUUUACUAGUGUUUAUAGCAACCCCUCGGUAUUUGAUACUGGUUCAGUUGCUAAGAGUAGUAACUCGAAACGGGAGUUGCAGAAUGAACAGAGACUAGUUAAGGGUGAAGUGACGAUGUGUGUUGGAAGUGGUUCCAAGAUUGAUAUUAUCAUCAUCGCACACUCCCUAUACUUUCGGGAUUAGUGUUAAAACUAAAUAAAUGUUAUUUGGUGUUUGCGUUGAGCAUGAAUAUGAUUUGAUCGUGUUUAUUGCAAAAUGGUUAUUCAUUUAAGUUAGAGAAUAAUUGUUGUUCUGUUUACAUGAAUAAAACCUUCUAUGGUCAUACACCCAAUGAAAAUGGUUCGUUGGAUCUCGAUCGUAGUGAUACACAUAUUCAUAAUAUUGAAGACAAAAUAUGAAAAGUUAAUAAUGAUAGUGCAACUUAUUUGUGUCACUGCCGUUUAGGUCAUAUUGGUGUAAAGCGCAUGAAGAAACUCCAUGUUGAUGGGAUUUUGGAAUCACUUGAUUAUGAAUCAUUUUGAUGCUUGCGAACCAUGCCUCAUGGGCAAGAUGACUAAGGCUCCGUUCUUCGGAACAAUGGAGCGAGCAACUGGCAUAUUGGAAAUAAUACAUACUGAUGUAUGCAGUCCGAUGAGUGCUGAGGCUCGCGGCGGGUAUCAUUAUUUUCUGACCUUCAUAGAUGAUUUGAGCAGAUAUGGGUAUAUCUACUUGAUGAAACAUAAGUGUGAAACAUUUGGAAAGUUCAAAGAACUUCAGAGUGAAGUGGAAAAUCAUCGUGACAAGAAAAUAAAGUUUCUAUGAUCUGAUCGCAGAGACAAAUAUUUGAGUUAUGAGUUUGGUCUUCAAUUAAAACAAUGUGGAAUAGUUUCACAAAAUCGUGCCACCUGGAACACCACAGCAUAAUGGUGUGUCCGAGCGUCAUAACCGUACUAUUAUUGGAUAUAGUGCAAUCUAUGAUGUUUCUUAUCGAUUAACCACUAUAGUUUUGGGGUUAUGCAUUAGAGACAGCUGCAUUCACAUUAAAAAGGGCACCAUCUAAAUCCGUUGAGAUGACACCGUAUGAACUGUGGUUUGGCAAGAAACCAAAGUUGUCGUUUCUUAAAGUUUGGUGUUGCGAUGCUUAUAAGAAAAAGUUUCAUCCUGAUAAGUUCAAACCCAACUCGGAGAAAUGUGUCUUCAGAGGAUACCCAAAGGAGACAAUUGGGUACACCUCUAUCACAGAUCCGAAGGCAAGACAUUCGUUGCUAAGAAUGGAUCCUUUCUAGAGAAGGAGUUUCUCUCGAAAGAAGUGAGUGGUAGGAAAGUAGAACUUGAUGAGGUAACUGUACCUGCUCCCUUAUUGGAAAGUAGUUCAUCACCGAAACCGGUUCCUGUGACGCCUACACCAAUUAGCGAUGAAGUUAAUGAUGAUGAUCAUGGAACUUCAGAUCAAGUUGUUAAUGAACCUCGUAGGUCAACCAGAGUAAGAUCCGCACCAGAGAGGUACGGUAAUCCUGUUCUGGAGGUUAUGUUACUAGACCAUGACGAACCUACGAACUAUGAAGAAGCGAUGGCGAGCCCAGAUUCCACAAAAUGGCUUGAGGCCAUGAAAUCUGAGAUGGGAUUCAUGUAUGAGAACAAAGUGUGGAUUUUUGUUGACUUGCCCAAUGAUCGGCAAGCCAUUGAGAAUAAAUGGAUCUUCAAGAAGAAGACUGACGCUGACGGUAAUAUUACUAUCUAUAAAGCUCGACUUGUUGCAAAAGGUUUUCGACAAGUUCAAGGGAUUGACUAUGAUGAGACUUUCUCACCCAUAGCGAUGCUUAAGUCUGUCCGAAUCAUAUUAGCAAUUGCCGCAUUUUAUGAUUAUGAAAUUUGGAAAAUGGAUGUCAAAACUGCAUUCCUGAAUGGAUUUCUGGAAGAAGAGUUGUAUAUGAUGCAACCAGAAGGUUUUGUCGAUCCAAAGGAAGCUAACAAAAUGUGCAAGCUCCGGCGAUCCAUCUAUGGACUGGUGCAAGCAUCUAGGAGUUAGAAUAUACGCUUUGAUGAGUUGAUCAAAGCAUAUAGUUUUAUACAGACUUGCGGUGAAGCCUAUAUUUACAAGAAAGUGAGUGGGAGUUGUAUAGCAUUUCUGAUAUUAUAUGUGGAUGACAUAUUGCUGAUUGGAAAUGAUAUAGAAUUUCUGGAUAGCAUAAAAGGAUACUUGAAUAAAAGUUUUUCAAAGAAAGACCUUGGUGAAGCUACUUACAUAUUGAGCAUUCAAGAUCUAUAGAGAUAGAUCAAGACGCUUGAUAAGUUUUUUCAAUGAGUACAUACCUUGACAAGAUUUUGAAGUAGUUCAAAAUGGAACAUUCAAAGAAAGAGUUCUUCCUGUGUUACAAGGUGUGAAAUUGAGUAGACUCAAAGCCCGACCACGGCAGAAGAUAGAAAGAGAAUGAAAGUCAUUCCCUAUGCCUCAGCCAUAGGUUCUAUAAAGUAUGCCAUGCUGUGUACCAGAUCUAUUGUAUACCCUACACUGUUUUUUUUUGCAAGGGAGUACAAUAGUGAUCUAGGAGUAGAUCACUGGACAGCGGUCAAAAUUAUCCUUAGUGGAAUAAGGAUAUGUUUCUCGAUUAUGGAGGUGACAAAAGGUUCGUCGUAAAGGGUUACAUCGAUGCAAAUUUUGACACUGAUCGAGAUGACUAUAAGUCUCAAUCUGGAUACAUAUUGAAAGUGGGAGCAAUUAGCUAGAGUAGCUCCGCGCAGAGCAUUGUUGACAUAGAAAUUUGCAAAAUACAUACGGAUCUGAAUGUGGCAGACCUGUUGAGUAAACUUCCCUGACAAGCAAAACAUGAUCACACCUUAGUACUCUUUGGGUAUUAAUCGUAUAGCGAUGUGAACUAGAUUAUUGACUCUAGUAAACCCUUUGGGUGUUGGUCACAUGACGAUGUGAACUAUGGGUGUUAAUCACAUGGUGAUGUGAACUAUUGAUGUUAAAUCACAUCGCGAUGUGAACUAGAUUAUUGACUCUAGUGCAAGUGGGAGACUCAAGGAAAUAUGCCCUAGAGGCAAUAAUAAAUUUAUUAUGUAUUUCCUUAUUUCAUGAUAAAUGUUUAUUAUUCAUGCUAGAAUUGUAUUAACCGGAAACAUAAUACAUGUGUGAAUACAUAGACAAACAGAGUGUCACUAGUAUGCCUCUACUUGACUAGCUCGUUGAAUCAAAGAUGGUUAAGUUUCCUAGCCAUAGACAUGAGUUGUCAUUUAAUUAACAGGAUCACAUCAUUAGGAGAAUGAUGUGAUUGACUUGACCCAUUCCAUUAGCUUAGCACUUGAUCAUUUAGUAUGGUGCUAUUGCUUUCUUCAUGACUUAUACAUGUUCCUAUGACUAUGAGAUUAUGCAACUCCCGUUUACCGGAGGAACACUUUGUGUGCUACCAAACAUCACAACAUAACUGAGUGAUUAUAAAGGUGCUCUACAGGUGUCUCCGAAGGUACUUCUUGGGUUGGCGUAUUUCGAGAUUAGGAUUUGUCACUCCGAUUGUCGGAGAGGUAUCUCUAGGCCCACUCGGUAAUACACAUCACUUAAGCCUUGCAAGCAUUGUAACUAAUGAGUUAGUUCCGGGAUGAUGUAUUACGAAACGAGUAAAGAGACUUGCCGGUAACGAGAUUGAACUAGGUAUUGAGAUACCGACGAUCGAAUCUUGGGCAAGUAACAUACCGAUGACAAAGGGAACAACGUAUGUUGUUAUGUGGUUUGACCGAUAAAGAUCUUCGUAGAAUAUGUGGGAGCCAAUAUGAGCAUCCAGGUUCCGCUAUUGGUUAUUGACCGGAGACGUGUCUCGGUCAUGUCUACAUAGUUCUCGAACCCAUAGGGUCCGCAUGCUUAAAGUUCGAUGAUGGUUAUAUUAUGAGUUUAUGUGUUUUGAUGUACCGAAGGUAGUUCGGAGUCUCGGAUGAGAUCGGGGACAUGAAAAGGAGUCUCUAAAUGGUUGAGACGUAAAGAUCGAUAUAUUGGACAACUAUAUUCGGACAUCGAAAAGGUUCCGAGUGAUUCCGGUAUUUAUCGGAGUACCGGGGAGUUACGGGAAUUCGCCGGGGAGUGUAUGGGCCUUAUUGGGCUUUAGGGGAAAGAGAGAGAGGCAGGACGCCCUGCCCCCCCCCAAGGCCUAGUCCGAAUUGGACCAGGGGAAGGGCUGCGCCCCCUCCUUCCUUCUCUUCUCUUUUCCCUUUCCUUCUCUCCUACUCCUACUACUUGGAAGGGCUCCUAGUUCUACUAGGAAAGGGGGAAUCCUACUCCCGGUGGGAGUAGGACUCCCCUAGGGCGCGCCAUAGAGAGGGCCGGCCCCUUCCCUCAUCCACUCCUUUAUAUACGUGGCUAGGGGGCACCCCAUAGACACAACAAUUGAUCUCUUGAUCUCUUAGCCGUGUGCGGUGCCCCCUCCACCAUAAUCCACCUCGAUCAUAUCGUAGUGGUGCUUAGGCGAAGCCCUGUGUCGGUAGAACAUCAUCAUCGUCACCACGCCGUCGUGCUAACGAAACUCUCCCUCAACACUCGGCUGGAUUGGAGUUCGAGGGACGUCAUCGAGGUGAACGUGUGCAGAACUCGGAGGUGUCGUGCAUUCUGUACUUGAUCGGUCGGAUCGUGAAGACGUAAGACUACAUCAACCGCGUUGUGCUAACGCUUCUGCUUUCGGUCUACGAGGGUGCGUGGACACACUCUCCCCUCUCAUUGCUAUGCAUCACCAUGAUCUUGCGUGUGCGUAGUAUUUUUUUUUUUUUGAAAUUACUACGUUCCCCAACAAGGCCCUGCAACUAUUCCUGGAUGAGACGAGAGCGAUAGGAUCGUGAUUUCUAGGGAGGGAAUGGUGGACAGCAGGCAGGGCCACAUGGACACGUGGUAGACAAUGAAUACGGUCGACGUUUCGGAGCGAUCCGCCGGUGGAUCCACCGGUGAGUGUUACUAUUCAUCACCGAGGGUGCAUAAUAAGUUAUUGUUCACCCGAGGUAAUAUUACGAUCAUCUCAUAAUAUACUCCCUCCGCCCCAAAUUUUUUAUCUUAGAUUUGUCUAAAUACGGAUGUAUCAAGUCACAUUUUCGUAGGAAAUAUGCCCUAGAGGCAAUAAUAAAGUUAUUAUUUAUUUCCUUAUUUCAUGAUAAAUGUUUAUUAUUCAUGCUAGAAUUGUAUUAACCGGAAACAUGAUACAUGUGUGAAUACAUAGACAAACAGAGUGUCACUAGUAUGCCUCUACUUGACUAGCUCGUUGAUCAAAGAUGGUUAUGUUUCUUAGCCAUAGACAUGAGUUGUCAUUUCAUUAAUGGGGUCACAUCAUUAGGAGAUUGAUGUGAUUGACUUGACCCAUUCCGUUAGCUUAGCACUCGAUCAUUUAGUAUGUUGCUAUUGCUUUCUUCAUGACUUAUACAUGUUCCUAUGACUAUGAGAUGAUGCAACUCCCGUUUACCGAAGGAACACUUUGUGUGCUACCAAACGUCACAACGUAACUCGGUGAUUAUAAAGGUGCUCUACAGGUGUCUCCGAAGGUACUUGUUGGGUUGGCGUAUUUCGAGAUUAGGAUUUGUCACUCCGAUUGUCGGAGAGGUAUCUCUGGGCCCACUCGGUAAUGCACAUCACUAUAAGCCUUGCAAGCAUUGCAACUAAUGAGUUAGUUGCGGGAUGAUGUAUUACAGAACGAGUAAAGAGACUUGCGGGUAACGAGAUUGAAGUAGGUAUUGAGAUACCGACGAUCGAAUCUCGGGCAAGUAACAUACCGAUGAUAAAGGGAACAACGUAUGUUGUUAUGCAGUUUGACCGAUAAAAAUCUUCAUAGAAUAUGUAGGAGCCAAUAUGACCAUCCAGGUUCCGCUAUUGGUUAUUGACCGGAGACGUGUCUCGGUCAUGUCUACAUAGUUCUUGAACUCGUAGGGUCCGCACGCUUAAAGUUCGAUGACGGUUAUAUUAUGAGUUUAUGUGUUUUGAUGUACCGAAGGAGUUCAAAGUCCCGGAUGAGAUCGGGGACAUGACGAGGAGUCUCGAAAUGGUCGAGACGUAAAUAUCGAUAUAUUGGACGACUAUAUUCGGACAUCGGAAAGGUUCUGAGUGAUUCGGGUAUUUAUCGGAGUACCGGAGAGUUACAGGAAUUCGCCGGGCAGUACAUGGGCCUUAUUGGGCCAUACGGGAAUAGAGGAGGGAGGCUAAAAGGAAGGAGGCGCGCGGGCCCCCUCUGGUCCGAAUUGGACAAGGGGUGCAGCCCCCUUUUCCUUCUUCCUCUCCACCUCUUUCCUUCUCUCCUACUCCAACAAGGAAAGGAGGAGUCCUACUCCCCAACUAGGCCGGCCGCCUCCCCCCUUGCUCCUUUAUAUACGGGGGCAGGGGGCACUCCAUGGACACAACAAUUGAUCAUUGAUCUCUUAGCCGUGUGCGGUGCCCCCCUCCACCAUAAUCCUCGAUAAUAUUGUAGCGGUGCUUAGACGAUGCCCUGCGAUGGUAGAACAUCAAGAUCAUCACAACGCCUUUGUGCUGACGGAACUCUCCCUCAAAGCUCGGCUGGAUCGGUGUUCGAGGGACGUCAUCGAGUUGAACGUGUGCAGAACUCGGAGGUGUCGUGUGUUCGGUACUUGAUCGGUCGGAUCGUGAAGAUGUACGACAACAUCAACCGCGUUGUGCUAAUGCUUCCGCUUUCGGUCUAUGAGGGUACAUGGACAACACUCUCCCCUCUCGUUGCUAUGCAUCACCAUGAUAUUGCAUGUGCGUAGGAAUUUUUUUGAAAUUACUGCGUUCCCCAACAGUGGCAUCCGAGCCAGGUUUUAUCCGUUGAUGUUAUGCAUGAGUAGAACACAAGUGAGUUGUGGGCGAUAUAAGUCAUACUGCUUACCAGCAUGUCAUACUUUGGUUCGGCGGUAUUGUUGGAUGAAGCGGCCCGGACCGAAAUUACGCGUACGCUUACGCGAGACUGGUUCUACCGACGUGCUUUGCACAUAGGUGGCUGGCGGGUGUCAGUUUCUCCAACUUUAGUUGAACCGAGUGUGGCUACGCCCGGUCCUUGCGAAGGUUAAAACAGCACCAACUUGACAAACUAUCGUUGUGGUUUUUGAUGCGUAGGUAAGAACGGUUUUUGCUAAGCCCAUAGCAGCCACGUAAAACUUGCAACAACAAAGUAGAGGACAUCUAACUUGUUUUUGUAGGGCAUGUUGUGAUGUGAUAUGAUCAAGACAUGAUGCUAAAUUUUAUUGUAUGAGAUGAUCAUGUUUAUUAACCAAGUUAUCGGCAACUGGCAGGAGCCAUAUGGUUGUCGAUUUAUUGUAUGCAAUGCAAUCGCGCUGUAAUGCUUUAAUUUAUCACUAAGCGGUAGCGAUAGUCGUGGAAGCAUAAGACUGGCGAGACGACAACGAUGCUACGAUGGAGAUCAAGGUGUCGCGCUGGUGACGAUGGUGAUCAUGACGGUGCUUCGGAGAUGGAGAUCACAAGCACAAGAUGAUGAUGGCCAUAUCAUAUCACUUAUAUUGAUUGCAUGUGAUGUUUAUCUUUUAUGCAUCUUAUCUUGCUUUGAUUGAUGGUAGCAUUAUAAGAUGAUCCCUCACUAAAUUAUCAAAGUAUAAGUGUUCUCCCUGAGUAUGCACCGUUGCGAAAGUUCUUCGUGCUGAGACAACACGUGAUGAUCGGGUGUGAUAUGCUCUACGUUCAAAUACAACGGGUGCAAAACAGUUGCACACGUGGAAUACUCAGGUUAAACUUGACGAGCCUAGCAUAUAACAGAUAUGGCCUCGGAACACGGAGACUGAAAGGUCGAGCGUGAAUCAUAUAGUAGAUAUGAUCAACAUAGUGAUGUUCACCGUUGAAACUACUCCAUCUAACGUGAUGAUCGGACAUGGUUUAGUUGAUAUGGAUCACGUGAUCACUUAGAGGAUUAGAGGGAUGUCUAUCUAAGUGGAAGUUCUUAAGUAAUAUGAUUAAUUGAACUUAAAUUUAUCAUGAACUUAGUCCUGGUAGUAUUAGCAUAUCUAUGUUGUAGAUCAAUAGCUCGCAUUGUUGCUUCCCUAUGUUUAUUUUGAUAUGUUCCUAGAGAAAAACUAAGUUGAAAGAUGUUAGUAGCAAUGAUGCGGAUUGGAUCUAUGAUCUGAGGUUUAUCCUCAUUGCUGCACAGAAGAAUUAUGUCCUUGAUACACCGCUAGGUGACAGACCUAUUGCAGGAGCAGAUGCAGACGUUAUGAACGUUUAGCUAGCUCAAUAUGAUGACUACUUGAUAGUUUAGUGCACCAUGCUUAACGGCUUAGAAUCGGGACUUCAAAGACGUUUUGAACGUCAUGGACCAUAUGAGAUGUUCCAGGAGUUGAAGUUAAUAUUUCAAGCAAAUACCCGAGUUGAGAGAUAUGAAAUCUCCAACAAGUUCUAUAGCUAAAAGAUGGAGGAGAAUAGCUCAAGCAGUGAGCAUGUGCUCAGAUUGUCUGGGUACUACAAUCGCUUGAAUCAAGUGGGAGUUAAUCUUCCAGAUAAGAUAGUGAUUGACAGAAUUCUCUAGUCACCAUCACCAAGUUAGUUGAACUUCAUGAUGAACUAUAAUAUGCAAGGGAUAACGGAAACGAUUCCCAAGCUCUCCGUGAUGCUGAAAUCGACGAAGGUAGAAAUCAAGAAAACCAUCAAGUGUUGAUAGUUAACAAGACCACUAGUUUCAAGAAAAGGGAAAAGGGAAGAAGGGGAACUUCAAGAACAACGGCAAGCGAGUUGCUGCUCAAGUGAAGAAGCCCAAGUCUGGACCUAAGCCUGAGACUGAGUGCUUCUACUGCAAAGGAACUGGUCAUUGGAAACGGAACUGCCCCAAGUAUUUGGCGGAUAAGAAGGAUGGCAAAGUGAACAAAGAUAUAUUUGAUAUACAUGUUAUUGAUGUAUACUUUACUAGUGUUUAUAGCAACCCCUAAGUAUUUGAUACUAGUUCCGUUGCUAUGAUUAGUAACUCAAAAUGGGAGUUGCAGAAUAAACAGAGACUAGUUAAGGGUGAAGUGACGAUGUGUGUUGGAAGUGGUUCCAAGAUUGAUAUGAUCAUCAUCGCAGACUCCCUAUAUUUUCGAGAUUAGUGUUGAACCUAAAUAAGUGUUAUUUGGUGUUUGCGUUGAGCAUGAAUAUGAUUUGAUCAUGUUUAUUGCAAUACGAUUACUCAUUUAAGUUAGAGAACAAUUGUUGUUCUGUUUACAUGAAUAAAACCUUCUAUGGUCAUACACACCAACGAAAAUGGUUUGUUGGAUCUCGAUCGUAGUGAUACACAUAGUCAUAAUAUUGAAGACAAAAGAUGCAAAGUUAAUAAUGAUAGUGCAACUUGUUUGUGGCACUGCCGUUUAGGUCAUAUUGGUGUAAAUCGCAUGAAGAAACUCCAUGCUGAUGGGAUUUUGGAAUCACUUGAUUAUGAAUCACUUGAUGCUUGCGAACCAUGCCUUAUGGGCAAGAUGACUAAAACUCCAUUCUCUGGAAUAAUGGAGCAAGAAAUUGGCUUAUUGGAAAUAAUACAUACUGAUGUAUGCGUUCUGAUGAGUGUUAAGGCUCACGGCGGGUAUCAUUAUUUUCUGACCUUCAUAGAUGAUUUGAGCAGGUAUGGGUAUAUCUACUUGAUGAAACAUAAAUCUGAAACAUUUGAACAAUUCAAAGAAUUUCAGAGUGAAGUGGAAAAUCAUCGUGACAAGAAAAUAAGGUUUCUAUGAUCUGAUCGCAUAGACGAAUAUUUGAGUUACGAGUUUGGUCUUCAAUUAAAACAAUGUGGCAUAGUUUCACAAAUUCGUGCCACCUGGAACACCAUAGCAUAUUGGUGUGUCCGAACGUCAUAACCGUACUUUAUUAGAUAUGGUGCGAUCUAUGAUGUCUCUUACCGAUCUACCACUAUCGUUUUGGGGUUAUGCAUUAGAGACAGCUGCAUUCACGUUAAAUAGGUCACCAUCUAAACCCGUUGAUAUGACACUUUAUGAACUAUGGUUUGGCAAGAAACCUAAGCUGUCAUUUCUUAAAGUUUGAGGUUGCAAUGCUUAUGUGAAAAAGUUUCAACCUGAUAAGCUCAAACCCAAAUCGAAGAAGUGCGUCUUCAUAGGAUACCCAAAGGAGACAAUUGGGUACACCUUCUAUCACAGAUCCGAAGGCAAGACAUUCGUUUCUAAGAAUGGAUCCUUUCUAGAGAAGGAGUUUCUCUCGAAAGAAGUGAGUGGGAGGAAAGUAGAACUUGAUGAGGUAACUGUACCUGCAACCUUAUUGGAAAGUAGUUCAUCACAGAAAUCUGUUCCUGUGACUACUCAACCAAUUAGUGAGGAAGCUAAUGAUGAUGAUCAUGUAACUUCAGAUCAAGUUACUACCGAACCUCGUAGGUAAACAAGAGUGAUAUCCGCACUAGAGUGGUACGAUAAUCCUGUUCUGGAGGUCAUGUUACUUGACCAUGACGAACCUAUGAACUAUGAGGAAGCGAUGGUGAGCCCAGAUUCUGCAAAAUGGCUUGAGGGCAUGAAAUCUGAGAUGAGAUCCAUUUAUGAGAACAAAGUAUGGACUUUGAUUGACUUGCCCAAUGAUCGACGAGCCAUUGAGAUUAAAGGGAUCUUCAAGAGGAAGACGGACGCUGAUAGUAGUGUUACUAUCUACAAAGCUAGAAUUGUCGCAAAAGGUUUUCGACAAGUUCAAGUGUUGACUACGAUGAGAGUUUCUCACUCGUAUCUAUGCUUAAGUCUGUCCGGAUCAUGUUAGCAAUUGCCGCAUUUUAAGAAAUCUGGCAAAUGGAUAACAAAACUGCAAUCCUUAAUGGAUUUAUUAAAGAAGAGUUCUAUAUGAUGCAACCAGAAGGUUUUGUCAAUCCUAAAGGUGCUAACAAAAUGUGCAAGCUCCAGCGAUCCAUCUGUGGACUGGUGCAAGCAUCUCGGAGUUGGAAUAUACGCUUUGAUGAGUUGAUUAAAGCAUAUAGUUUUAUACAGACUUGCGGUGAAGCAUGUAUUUACAAGAAAGUGAGUGGGAGCACUACGACAUUUCUGAUAAGUAUAUGUGAAUGACAUAUUGUUGAUCGGAAAUAAUGUAGAAUUAUUCUGCAAAGCAUAAAGGAGUGUUUGAAAGGAGUUUUUCAAAGAAAGACCUCGGUGAAGCUGCUUACAUAUUGAGCAUCAAGAUCUAUAGAGAUAGAUCAAGAUGCUUGAUAAGUUUUUUCAAUGAGUACAUACCUUGAAAAGAUUUUGAAGUAGUUCCAAAUGGAACAAUCAAAGAAAGAGUUCCUGCCUGUGUAACAAGGUGUGAAAUUGAGUAAGACUCAAAGCCCGACCACGGCAGAAGAUAGAAAGAGAGUGAAAGUCAUUCCCUAUGCCUUAGCCAUAGGUUCUAUAAAGUAUGCCAUGAUGUGUACCAGAUCUAUUGUAUACCCUACACUGAUUUUGGCAAGGGAGUACAAUAGUGAUCUAGGAGUAGAUCACUGGACAGCGGUCAAAAUUAUCCUUAGUGGAAUAGGGAUAUUUUUCUCGAUUAUGGAGGUGACAAAAAGGUUUGUCGUAAAGGGUUAUGUCGAUGGAAAUUUUGACACUGAUCCAGAUGACUCUAAGUCUCAAUCUGGAUACAUAUUGAAAGUGGGAGCAAUUAGCUAGAGUAGCUCCGUGCAGAGCAUUAUAGACAUAGAAAUUUGCAAAAUACUUACGGAUCUGAAUGUGAUAGACCCGUUGACUAAAAUUAUCUCACAAGCAAAACAUGAUCACACCUUAGUACUCUUUGGGUGUUAAUCACAUAGCGAUGUGAACUACAUUACUGACUCUAGUAAACCCUUUGGGUGUUGGUUACAUGUCGAUGUGAACUAUGGGUAUUAACCACAUAAAGAUGUGAACUAUUAAUGUUAAAUCACAUGGCGAUGUGAACUAGAUUAUUGACUCUAGUGCAAGUGGGAGAGUGAAGGAAAUAUGCCCUAGAGGCAAUAAUAAAGUUAUUAUUUAUUUCUUUAUUUCAUGAUAAAUGUUUAUUAUUCAUGCUAGAAUUGUAUUAACCGGAAACAUGAUACAUGUGUGAAUACAUAGACAAACAGAGUGUCACUAGUAUUCCUCUACUUGACUAGCUCGUUGAUCAAAGAUGGUUAUGUUUCCUAGACAUAGACAUGAGUUGUCAUUUGAUUAACGGGAUCAAAUCAUUAGGAGAAUGACGUGAUUGACUUGACCCAUUCCGUUAGCUUAGCACUUGAUCAUUUAAUUUGUUGCUAUUGCUUUCUUCAUGACUUAUACAUGUUCCUAUGACUAUGAGAUUAUGCAACUCCCAUUUACCGGAGGAACACUUUGUGUGCUACCAAACGUCACAACAUAACUGGGUGAUUAUAAAGGUGCUCUACAGGUGUCUCCGAAGGUACUUGUUGGGUUGCCGUAUUUCGAGAUUAGGAUUUGACACUCCGAUUGUCGGAGAGGUAUCUCUGGGCCCACUCCGUAAUGCACAUCACUAUAAGCCUUGCAAGCAUUGCAACUAAUGAGCUAGUUGCGGGAUGAUGUAUUACGGAACGAGUAAAGAGACUUGCCGGUAACGAUAUUGAACUAGGUAUUGAGAUACCGACGAUCGAAUCUCGGGCAAGUAACAUACAGAUGACAAAGGGAACAACGUAUGUUGUUAUGCGGUUUGACCGAUAAAGAUCUUUGUAGAAUAUGUAAGAGCCAAUAUGACCAUCCAGGUUCCGCUAUUGGUUAUUGAUCGGAGACGUAUCUCGGUCAUGUCUACAUAGUUCUCGAACCCGUAGGGUCCGCACGGUUAAAGUUCGAUGACGGUUAUAUUAUGAGUUUAUGUGUUUUGAUGUACCGAAGGAGUUCGGAGUCCCGGAUGAGAUCGGGGACAUGACGAGGAGUCUCGAAAUGGUCAAGACGUAAAGAUCGAUAUAUUGGACGACUAUAUUCGGACAUCGGAAAGGUUCCCAGUGAUUCGGGUAUUUAUCGGAGUACCGGAGAGUUACGGGAAUUCGCCGGGGAGUAUAUGGGCCUUAUUGGGCCAUACGGGAAUAGAGGAGAGAGGCCAAAAGGAAGGAGGCGCGCGGCCCCCCUCUGGUCCGAAUUAGACAAGGGGUGCAUCCCCCUUUUCCUUCUUCCUCUCCUCCUCUUUCCUUCUCUCCUACUCCAACAAGGAAAGGAGGAGUCCUACUCCCCCCCCCUUGGUGCGCCCUCCUCCUAGGCCGGCCGCCUCCCCCAUUGCUCCUUUAUAUACGGGGGCAGGGGGGCACCCCAUGGAUAAAACAAUUGAUCAUUGAUCUCUUAGCCGUGUGCGGUGCCCCCCUCCACCAUAAUCCUCGAUAAUAUUGUAGCGGUGCUUAGGCGAAGCCCUAUGACGGUAGAACAUUAAGAUCGUCACCACACCGUCGUGCUGAUGGAACUCUCUCUCAAAGCUCGGCUGGAUCGGAGUUCGAGGGACGUCAUCGAGUUGAACGUGUGCAAAACUCGGAGGUGCCGUGUGUUCGGUACUUGAUCGGUCGGAUCGUGAAGACGUACGACAACAUCAACCGCGUUGUGCUAACGCUUCCGCUUUCGGUCUACGAGGGUAUGUGGACAACACUCUCCCCUCUCGUUGCUAUGCAUCACCAUGAUCUUGCAUGUGCGUAGGAAUUUUUUUGAAAUUACAACGUUCCCCAACAAUUUUAGUAUUAGAUACAUUCGUAUCUAGACAAAUCUAAGACAAAAAAUUUGGGACGGAGGAAGUAUAACAAAACUAUUUUGGGUCAUAUUACCAUUUUGCACACUUGGAAAAAAAUGGUCCAGGUAAAAAAAAGAAGUGCCCACUAAUUUAACAAUGUGUGAUAAAACUGAUAAAGUGUUUGAGUAUUCUAAAUAAAAUGGUCUUGCACUUUCAAAAAUGAUUCAUGAACUAUUUAGAAAAAUAUCCAUUUUAUUUAUAAAAAAUACUCAUGUAUUUGGAAAAUAAUUUUCAUUUUUUCAAAGAAUGUUCACAUAUUUUAUAGAAUUUACAUGUAAUUAUCUAUAUUUACCCUACCACUCUGUAUUGCGGCAUGUUCAUAUAUAUUUUGGAAUUCAUCCCUAUGUUGUAGCCUGCAUAUAUAUUGUUUUUUAGGGAAAGUAAGGAUUCUCAAAUGAUGACCUUGUUGCAAGUACCGCUGCUACAGAAACAACAACCUGAAGCUAUCAACAAUGUCGUGGUGGUGCAUCAAGAAGCAACACAAGCAGUCGAACAUAUACUGGCAAUGCAGCCAGGUCCGGUCCUGACUUUUCGGAGGCCUGAGGCGAACUUAAAAAGUGGGCCUAAUAUAGUGAAAAUAUAAAUUACAUCGAUACAAAGCACAAUCGGUGCAAAAAAAAGAUACAAAGCACAAUGUUUUUAUGCCCUAAAACCAUCUUUUUUUCAUUACUAAAUAAAAUAUAUCAGAUCUAACUUAUCCGCUAGCAUUUUCUUUCUUCUUUCUCAAAAUCAUGUUUUUAGCCAACAUUUUACAAGAAUGGAAUGGAAAUACCUGAAUUUGUCGGUGGAAAAAUAGAAGAAAUCCAGCUAUCCAAUCGCAAGCAUAUCGGAUCUUCCUAGGGUCCUCGUAUCCUCAAAUGAGCAACUUGUACAGAAAUAGAAGAUCAGUCAGGGAAUCGCUACAAAACAAAAAAAAAAC
This 49748-nucleotide long non-coding RNA is filed under the name Triticum aestivum (bread wheat). RNAcentral describes it as "long non-coding RNA (TAES_LNC002141)". The record is from RNAcentral. Lineage: Eukaryota; Viridiplantae; Streptophyta; Magnoliopsida; Poales; Poaceae.